This 57485-nucleotide long non-coding RNA is filed under the name Jatropha curcas. Its description in RNAcentral is "long non-coding RNA (JCUR_LNC002515)". The record is from RNAcentral. Lineage: Eukaryota; Viridiplantae; Streptophyta; Magnoliopsida; Malpighiales; Euphorbiaceae.
GAUGAUAUAUUAUACACGUAAAUAAAAGUUUUUAUGGAUACAUUAUCUGUCCUAACUCAUUUAAACUGCGUUUGUGUAUUAGCUAAAUAUGUGCGGAACGAGUUAAGUAUUAAAAUUUAAACGAGUUUGAAUUAGUAUGAGUAUUUUCAAAUAAAUUUUAAACAAAUUUAGGAUAAACAUAAGUAUCCAAGUUAUAAAGCAUGUUUGUUUAUAGAUAGUACAAAUUUUGAAAUACCCACUACUUGCAUUCCACGCCUACACUUUGUACACCAAAUCAAUUUGUCACGACCCAUUUUCGUGGGCCGGACCGGCACUAGGACCUGGAUGGGCUUAAGGCCCCCGAAGCCCGUAGUAAGCCUAAAUUAUUUAAAACUCAUAUGCUAUUCGUAAUUGUGGAUUCAGGACCAAUAAUUUAUUUCACAAAUAUAUCCAAAUAAUAAAUGUCUAUACUUUAUUUAUUCAUUUACAACUCAGUUGGAAUACAAUUGCGGAACUCUACUCCAUAAUUCACUAUUCUUUGCAUUUACAUAUUUAAUACAAUGAUUAUUACUCUUAUCGAUCCAUAUCUCGUUCAUUCAAUUAGACUCCACGAUUCUUCUUUCCAUCUAUUACCUGGGGAGGGUUGGAGGGGGGUGAGUAUUAAACUCAGUGAGUAGAAUUAGAUAACUCUCUCACCCCACACAAUCAUAAAAAUGCUAAAAUAAUUUUAUGUGGUCACCCGUUAAAUUAUGUGAUCAUGCAGUUUGGCACACAAAUGGCAAUACAACAGCAAUCACAAAUAUUAUCACCUUCAUAUAAUCACAUCACGUGGAAAUUAGUCAGUGGAGUCACCGAAACCCGAUGAGCCGUCCUCCCACAUGGCCCAUCCUCUCACAUGUGCACCAGGGAGCCAAUCCCCCAUUCUGGCCGACCGGUUUAAUCCUCACACAACCAGUCCUCUCAUUAUUUUUCCAGUCUCUCUCUCUUUUUUUUUUUUUUNNNNNNNNNNNNNNNNNNNNNNNNNNNNNNNNNNNNNNNNNNNNNNNNNNNNNNNNNNNNNNNNNNNNNNNNNNNNNNNNNNNNNNNNNNNNNNNNNNNNNNNNNNNNNNNNNNNNNNNNNNNNNNNNNNNNNNNNNNNNNNNNNNNNNNNNNNNNNNNNNNNNNNNNNNNNNNNNNNNNNNNNNNNNNNNNNNNNNNNNNNNNNNNNNNNNNNNNNNNNNNNNNNNNNNNNNNNNNNNNNNNNNNNNNNNNNNNNNNNNNNNNNNNNNNNNNNNNNNNNNNNNNNNNNNNNNNNNNNNNNNNNNNNNNNNNNNNNNNNNNNNNNNNNNNNNNNNNNNNNNNNNNNNNNNNNNNNNNNNNNNNNNNNNNNNNNNNNNNNNNNNNNNNNNNNNNNNNNNNNNNNNNNNNNNNNNNNNNNNNNNNNNNNNNNNNNNNNNNNNNNNNNNNNNNNNNNNNNNNNNNNNNNNNNNNNNNNNNNNNNNNNNNNNNNNNNNNNNNNNNNNNNNNNNNNNNNNNNNNNNNNNNNNNNNNNNNNNNNNNNNNNNNNNNNNNNNNNNNNNNNNNNNNNNNNNNNNNNNNNNNNNNNNNNNNNNNNNNNNNNNNNNNNNNNNNNNNNNNNNNNNNNNNNNNNNNNNNNNNNNNNNNNNNNNNNNNNNNNNNNNNNNNNNNNNNNNNNNNNNNNNNNNNNNNNNNNNNNNNNNNNNNNNNNNNNNNNNNNNNNNNNNNNNNNNNNNNNNNNNNNNNNNNNNNNNNNNNNNNNNNNNNNNNNNNNNNNNNNNNNNNNNNNNNNNNNNNNNNNNNNNNNNNNNNNNNNNNNNNNNNNNNNNNNNNNNNNNNNNNNNNNNNNNNNNNNNNNNNNNNNNNNNNNNNNNNNNNNNNNNNNNNNNNNNNNNNNNNNNNNNNNNNNNNNNNNNNNNNNNNNNNNNNNNNNNNNNNNNNNNNNNNNNNNNNNNNNNNNNNNNNNNNNNNNNNNNNNNNNNNNNNNNNNNNNNNNNNNNNNNNNNNNNNNNNNNNNNNNNNNNNNNNNNNNNNNNNNNNNNNNNNNNNNNNNNNNNNNNNNNNNNNNNNNNNNNNNNNNNNNNNNNNNNNNNNNNNNNNNNNNNNNNNNNNNNNNNNNNNNNNNNNNNNNNNNNNNNNNNNNNNNNNNNNNNNNNNNNNNNNNNNNNNNNNNNNNNNNNNNNNNNNNNNNNNNNNNNNNNNNNNNNNNNNNNNNNNNNNNNNNNNNNNNNNNNNNNNNNNNNNNNNNNNNNNNNNNNNNNNNNNNNNNNNNNNNNNNNNNNNNNNNNNNNNNNNNNNNNNNNNNNNNNNNNNNNNNNNNNNNNNNNNNNNNNNNNNNNNNNNNNNNNNNNNNNNNNNNNNNNNNNNNNNNNNNNNNNNNNNNNNNNNNNNNNNNNNNNNNNNNNNNNNNNNNNNNNNNNNNNNNNNNNNNNNNNNNNNNNNNNNNNNNNNNNNNNNNNNNNNNNNNNNNNNNNNNNNNNNNNNNNNNNNNNNNNNNNNNNNNNNNNNNNNNNNNNNNNNNNNNNNNNNNNNNNNNNNNNNNNNNNNNNNNNNNNNNNNNNNNNNNNNNNNNNNNNNNNNNNNNNNNNNNNNNNNNNNNNNNNNNNNNNNNNNNNNNNNNNNNNNNNNNNNNNNNNNNNNNNNNNNNNNNNNNNNNNNNNNNNNNNNNNNNNNNNNNNNNNNNNNNNNNNNNNNNNNNNNNNNNNNNNNNNNNNNNNNNNNNNNNNNNNNNNNNNNNNNNNNNNNNNNNNNNNNNNNNNNNNNNNNNNNNNNNNNNNNNNNNNNNNNNNNNNNNNNNNNNNNNNNNNNNNNNNNNNNNNNNNNNNNNNNNNNNNNNNNNNNNNNNNNNNNNNNNNNNNNNNNNNNNNNNNNNNNNNNNNNNNNNNNNNNNNNNNNNNNNNNNNNNNNNNNNNNNNNNNNNNNNNNNNNNNNNNNNNNNNNNNNNNNNNNNNNNNNNNNNNNNNNNNNNNNNNNNNNNNNNNNNNNNNNGUUUACAGGCUGUCGGUUCAUUAAAUUUAAUUGGAAAAUAUUUUGAAAAUAAAAAUUCGGGUUGUUUCACAAUUAAUGAUUUUUUAUUUAUUUAUUACUAUUUUGUCUUUAGUAUGAUAAGAAAUAAUUUUGUUAUAAUUAAAAAAAUAUAUUUUAAUUAAUUUGGAGCAUGCGUGAACUCAUACAUAAUGAAUAUAUAUAUAUCUAUAAUACAUAAUCAGAAAUAAAUUUUGAUAUCUAUAAUACAUUUAGGCCAAAUAUAUAUAUAUAGUUUUAAGAAGAAACUCAGCAUCCAGUCAAAUAGUAAUAAAAAAAAAGAGAAAUUUUCAAAAAUUUCUAGAAAAAUAGAAUACUAAAUGGAGAAAUUUUUACUUCAAUUUUGUACUGUUAUGAAAACUAAGAAAAAAAAAAAAGAUGAUUGUAAAGAAAAGUAAUGUAUAGAAAUGUAAAGGAAAAUAUACAUAAAUAAUUAGGAAAUAUAAAAAAAUUAAAAAAAACCAAAUCCAUAAAUUAUCUUAAGUAAAUACAAAGUCCCAGUAAGGAAAAUUAUAAAUCUAUCAAUACUAGAAAAUUUAUUUUCAAAGAGAAAAAAAUUAAUUAAUAAAUGAAAAAUUAGGACAUCUGUGAAAAAAGAAAAACAAUGCUCAAAAGUUAUUAAAAGUUAAAUAAAAUUUAUAAAAAAAAAGAAAAAUUGCUCAAAAUGCAAGUCAGUUUUUUAAUGAUUUUUUUUUGGUUUCUGGAUUAUGUAAAUAUAUAGAUAGAUGGGAUAAAAACGGCAGAUUCACUAUACGUUUUAAGGGGGUGGUGUUUCCUUACGAUACUCUUAAAACCCUAUCACAAUCGGACGGUUCAAAAAUCAACACUCUUAAACCCUGAUUCUCUUUCACUACGCAGCGCGAAUUCCCGGCAUUCACCGCCGGCGAACGGUUACUGAAGGUCGCGCUAUGUCCAUUAAGCUCCCUCUUCAGCUCCGCUUUCUCGGCCCAUCUUUUUCAGCCACCCGUCUUCCCCCCAUGAAAUCUCUCCUAUCAGUUACAUCCUCCCGGGGCGUCCCCAUUUUGUCUCGGAUCUUCCCCUUUAGACUCAAAUACGUGGGUUUUGGCCCUUAUCCCAAUUCGCAGGUAGGUGUUCGCCGAUUCUCGACUCGGCCAUUUCGACCCAGACAUGGGUCAGGCUCCCAGUUCAGACGCGGCGAACGUGACAGAGGAGAUGUGGGAGCUUCAAAGAGUCUGAUUGAAGAUGAAGCUGAACUCAGUGACUGGGUCAGCGAGUUGAGUACCAGCUCUUUCCGUGGCCGAGUCACGGAUGGCGAGUCAGAUUCUGAUAUCUCUCGUGAUAGAGUCAGCAGCGGCAGAGAUAGGGACAGGGGCCAAGGUAGAAAUAGAGAAAUAGGAAGGGAAAGAGGUAGAGAUAGAGAUGGCUUUUCAACGAAGAGAAGAAGGAACGAUAUCUCGGACGAGUUUGGCCAGCCAGAUAGGAGGAGACCCCGAGGUCAAGCUGAUUCGUUUUCGAGGAAUUCACGGGUAAGCAAGCGCUAUGACAUUGAUCGGGAGAAAUUCACUUUUCAGCGAAAGAAAGUUAGUAAUACCGGCAUAAUGAAUGGAACGAGAGGAGAUGGAGGGGUGAAUUCAGGGUUUAGGAGAGAUGUGAAGGGGUUAAGGGAACAAAGGGGUUUUUGUGUUGAUGAGGAAGAUGAUAGGGACAUUGAUGACAAUAAUGGGGAUGAGAGGAAGGAGUUAAUGGGUCGUCUUCAGGAUUUGGCUGAUGAGGAGGAGAGUGAUGAUCUUGAUGAAGAUGAUCAUGAUAAUGAUAUAUUAAAGAUAAAUGAAUCUUCUUCGUUUGGAUUGGACGGGAAAGAUAGGCCAAGCUCCCCUGGAAAUUUCAAUUCUUAUUUAAGCGAGUCUAGGUAUGUUAUUACAUAAUUUUUCUCUCUUUCUAAUGCUUAUAGCUUUUUGUCAACAGCGAACACUUAAUUUCUCUAAAAUUUCUGCAGAUUUGAUCAGUGCUCAAUUUCUCCAUUGUCAUUAAAGGGAAUCAAGGAUGCAGGAUAUGAGAAAAUGACUGUAGUUCAGGAGGCCACUCUUCCAGUUAUACUCAAAGGUUUAUUUUUUUUCUACAUGGUCUAGUUCCUGUGUAUGUUUGUCAUGGAUUGCAGUUUGUCGUGUUUUUUUUACGUAAACUACAUGGUAUUGAUCAAAUUGCCUUCAUUUUAUAUUACUUUCUUAUAUUUCUUUCAAGCAGCUCAACAGCACAUUAGCUAUAUGAAUCCUUUCGUCUCUUUGUGAGCUGUUUGGGGCCAAGAUGACAAAUAUCCCACCUACAGCUCAAUCUUGAAUCACACAUUAGCUACCUUUACUAUGAUUUGGUUUGAUUGUCCAUAACAAGAUAGCUAAUAUUUGAUUUUUUUGCCAGGUAAGGAUGUUCUUGCUAAGGCUAAAACUGGAACUGGGAAAACUGUAGCAUUUUUGGUAAGAUUCCUUAUUUGAUUAUGCAUUCGCGUGUGAUGGCAUUGUUAAUCAAUGGAAGACCAUUCCUUCAAACUGUAGCAUCAAGGACCUAGAAGUUUUUCUAAAUGCUAUGUACACUUAUAAUGCAAAAUUGUUCUUAAGGUAAAAAGUUGGUAAUUUGAAUACAGAGUUGUUCAUAACUAUAGUGUCUGUGAAUAUAGGUAAUUGUUGAACUGAUGCAUAGUUGUUGAAAUGUGAGGAUAAUAUUUAUGCGUAUUGUUUCCUUCUAUGAUUAUUUUCCUAUAGUCAAUUGCUAAUGGUGUUUUCCGCCCUAAAUAGCAUGAAUAGACCCUCUUAUGCAUUUGGAUUAAGUUGGAUAAAACAAGUCAUGUGAAAUUGCAUAUUUUUUUCUCAUCCAACGUGGCAUGAAAUGAAUCACCUUACCUCCACUCCAGAGAAGAAAUGGCAUGAAUCGCCUUAGUCAUGUGAUUUUUCUAAGAUCCUGAACUUUUGUUAACUAAAAUUGACUCUCUAAUCAGCUUCCAGCAAUCGAAAUAAUUGUCAAAUCUCCUCCUAUCAGUCGUGAUCAAAAACGGCCACCAAUACUUGUGCUUGUUAUAUGCCCAACUCGGGAACUUGCAAGUCAAGCUGCUGCAGAAGCAAACACCUUAUUAAAGUACCACCCUUCUAUUGGUGCUCAAGUUGUGAUGGGAGGUACAAGACUUGCUCUUGAGCAGAAGCAAAUGCAAGCAAACCCUUGCCAGGUUAGUUUAUAUUUAUGGAUAACAUUCAACAAGUAUCAAAUUCGGUACAUUUGACUCCUUUCGAUGCUUCUUUGCACAAAGUGUUGGAACAAUCUACAGGUUUUGCCUGUUCGAUAUGUUGUCAAACUGUUGCAAAGCAUAGAUGUCCUCCUAGGAUGAGAUGGGCAAAAUAAUUCAAACUUAAAUUCACUUUAAAGUCUAUUAAUUUCAAUCCAAGGUUACUAACCAAUUAGAAUAUGAGUUAUAAUCGCCUUGUGCUAGGCAAAGUACUUUCAAGCAUUAGGACUCGAGAAAAUGGAUUAUCUAAGGUUGGAUAUUGCUACACUUCUCACAUGUAUGAAAUUCACAGAUUCUUGUUGCUACACCUGGAAGGCUUAGAGACCAUACUGAGAAUACUGCAGGUUUCGCAACAAGGCUGAUGGGUGUGAAAGUCCUUGUACUUGAUGAAGCUGAUCGUUUGCUAGACAUGGGCUUCCGUAAAGACAUCGAGAAAAUAAUUGCUGCUAUUCCAAAACAAAGGCAAACACUUCUGUUUUCUGCCACAGUUCCCGAAGAGGUUUCUUUUUAUCUUUUGGUGUGCCUUUAACAUUAGUGAGAACUGGAUAGAAGUUUUGAAUAAGUUGUUCAAUUUGAAGGUUCGUCAAAUCUGUCACUUUGCUUUGAAAAGAGAUCAUAAAUUCAUCAAUACAGUUGAAGAAGGAGCUGAGGAGACUAAUUCACAGGUGGACUUAAUGUGAAAUUUAUUAUGUAAUUCUGGUCGUUUAUGUCUCAAUAUUAAUUUGUUGGAUCAUUUCAGGUCAGGCAGACACAUCUGGUUGCUCCAUUAGACAAGCAUUUCCCCCUGUUAUAUGUCCUUCUGAAGGAUCAUAUCGCAGACAAUAUUGAUUUUAAGGUAUGCUUUAAUGUCCAGAAACCCGUGUCUGAUUUUGUUGAGAUUUUCUCCAUUAAUUUUGUAUGUCAUUUAGCCCUUGGUUUGUGUAGGUUAUUAUAUUUUGUACAACUGCUAUGGUCACAAGAAUGGUAGCUGACCUUCUUGGUGAACUUAGCUUGAAUGUUAGAGAGAUCCAUUCCAGAAAGUCCCAGAGUUACAGGACCAAGGUUUCUGAUGAAUUCCGCAAGUCAAAUGGUCUUAUUCUUGUGACUUCAGACGUGUCUGCCCGUGGAGUUGAUUAUCCUGAUGUUACUCUUGUCAUACAGGUUCUUUAUUCCAUUUUUUUACACGCAAUUUAGAUGUUUGGCCUUCCUUGGUGAAAAAAAUUGCAAGUGUGUUAAGCACUCUAUGCACAAUCAUUGAAGUUGAAGCAUUGGAGUAGAUUGAUUUGAUCUCUAUCUUGUUUAGUUCGAACUUUUCUUGUACAUUUAAUUCUCAAGCUUUUUCCAGACAUUAAAACGUUAACUUUUUAUAUUUUAAUUAGUAUUUUAAUUAAGAAAUGAAAUCUCUGUUGCAACCCCAGGUGGGCUUGCCAUCUGAUAGAGAACAGUACAUCCAUCGACUUGGUAGAACCGGUCGGAAAGGUAAAGAAGGACAAGGCAUCUUGCUACUCGCACCCUGGGAAGAAUCAUUCUUAUCCACCAUCAAGGAAUUACCGAUCACGAAAGCUUCAGUCCCUUCAGUGGACCCAGAGACAAAGAAAAAGGUACCCUUGUCCUGUUUUCAGAACGCAAGUUGCUGUUAGUUAACUGCAUUAACGUUAAAAAAAUAAAAGGGUUGCAAUUUUUUUCUCGAGCAAUUUCUGAAUCUCUGCAAUUAAACAUUACUGAACAGGUGGAACGGGCCCUGUCUCGUGUGGAGAUGAAGAGUAAAGAAGCAGCAUAUCAAGCCUGGUUAGGUUAUUACAAUUCCAGCAAGCUGGUGGGUAGGGACAAAUACAGGCUUGUGGAGCUCGCUAAUGAGUUCAGCCGAAGUAUGGGACUUGACAACCCUCCUGCCAUACCCAAGCUUGUUCUUGGCAAGAUGGGCCUCAGGAAUAUCCCUGGUUUGCGCUCCAAGUAGUUUGGGCAACUAAACGCGCUGUAGGUAAACAUAGCUAGCAAAUUGUUGAGCAAUUUCCUUAUGAGUUUGAAUUUGCUUAUUUGCUAAGUAUGUGAAAGUUCCUAAUUUUUUUUAGGUGUUUUAAAUGUAAAUUCCUAAAUUGUCAAAAGUUUGAAGAGAACCUGAUACGACCUGCUAACCUUUGUUCAAGAUACGACUCUUGCAAGGUCAAACUAAGUUCCAGUUUUAGGCUCCCUGUUCUUUAAUUUUUAAUUUGAACAAUUUAAAUGGAAGAAUUCAAUUUUAUUCAUUUAAUAGCAUUAAUUUAAUUGUUUGUGAGAUUUAUCCUUGUAAUAAGUUUUAAAGUGAAUUUUUUGUCCUUUGAAUUUUAUUGUAUAGAAUAAUUGAAAUUAAAUGAACGUGUUUUCCAACUUUACCUCCAUUAAAAAAAAAAAAAAGGAACUUUCAAAUUGGUAAAAGUAUUUUAAACGAUGACACUUUCAAAAAAAAAAAAAAAAAAAAAAAAAGAAUAAUGAGUUCUAUUGGAUCGAACUUAUAAGAGGUAAGAAGAGUACACUACAUCCGAUAUGCCCUUGGAACAUUUAACUUCAUGGAGCAAUAGAUUUUAUUUUUCAGUGAUCGGAUUUUUUUUUUUUUUUCUCUACCCUCAAUCCAAAACACAUGCAAACUUUAUGGAUGAUUUAUUCCACUUCAAAUUACAAAUUUGAUAAUAACAUUGCACUGGUACACCAACAGUAAAAUAUUAAUUUAACAUGUAUAAUAAUUUUCACAUUUUUGACAAUUUACUAGUUAUUAAAUUGAUAUAAUUUCAGAAAUUGCAAUGCUCAAUAAAAAUAAUUUUAGAAAUUGAAAUAUUCAAUAAAUAACAUUUUAUUAAUUAAAAUAUUUAAAGAGUCAAAGUAAAAAUAAUUUAGAGUGCAUUUAUUCAAUCAUUUUUUGAGAUAUAAGACCUGAAUUAAUACUGCAAAUUCACUCGCAACCUCCAAUGGCCGGACUUAGCAUCAUCUAAACUAUCACGAGUAGCGAGAAAAGAAAAACAGAGAAAAACAGAGCAAACCCCCUCUCCAGCUAUGAAUGAAACCAGAAAAAUCUUUUUCCAUCUAUCUUUGGCGAGCGCACUGCUACAAUGUUGACCUUUUUAACUUUUAAGCAAGAGUAUAUAAAAGCAGCUCUCGAUUGAGCUUGUGCAUCAAAAUCAGUAAUACAGCUUGACCGUGGGUAACAAAAUCCUGAAAAGAAACUUAUAACAUUGUAAAAUCCUAGAUUCUAAACCUGCAAGCUUCUACAUCAGUGGAGUUACAAUGUGUUUGAGCCCUAAUUAAAAACUAAAAACCGAGUCCUGCGUCCACCCCCUUUACCUCCAAUCUGCUACAUCCACGUAAAAAGGGCAGGUUAGAAGAUGAUUUAUAUAGUGUACAAACAAGCCGAAGCCAGCAGAACCAGAGGCCAUCUAACAAGUACGAGGUGUCCCACAAGUUAUCCCAUUUUAUGAAUGAGGUGAGACCACGAGGGCCUCGUAGGAAUUAGGUGGUUUCUCGUCAUAGUUUCUCCCAUCAUUUACUGCUUGGUUCAGAAAUGCAAGAGGUGGGAAAUCCUCGUCUUUCAACUGAUAAUUCCUUUGAGCCACUGAUCUGGCAAUAAAAUCAAAUGCCCCUGUUAAGAUAAUAAAUCAAAAACAUCACAAAACAGUUCCAGUAAAAUAAUAAACAACUAAUAUAUGGUACUACUAUAUGCUGUAACAGCAGAUCAGAACAUAGAAUUAUAGCACCUAUAAGCAUAUUGUCUUAAUUAAGUAAUUUGUAAUCUUAAGGCAGAAAUGAAUUAUUAUUGUAGAACUACCUCAGUACUAUAAUUCUAAAACACUGCCACUUAUCCAUAAGCAACUUCGCCCCCUGCCACUCAGAAACCUUGCACUUAACAAACAGAAUGAUGACUACCUCUGAAGAUGAGGCGAAGAAGGCUGAUCUGGUGAAGAUCGUUGGGCAGAGCUAUGGUGAAAUCUUUGGUCCUCAAAUGCCCCACUUGAUCGAGUUGCCUCAUUUAGAUGUGGUACCUCAUUUACACCUGAGAAACCCACAGGCCCAAGAGAUCCAAACUCAAGCUGUUCUGCAGGAGAACCAAAACCAGCAGUAUGAUCAUAAGGAUAUAGCAUUAGGACAGGUGGAAAGGUAGAACCAUUUGAUGAAACUCCACUGGGACUCAUGGAUUGUAGUGGGUACAUGCCAUAUGCCAAAUUGGCAGGACCACUCUGUGAAGGGCUAGAACGGAUUGGACUGUUCUGAGACUGGUAUGAAGGGAAAUUAUCAUGUCUAUGUGAGCCCCAUGUCCUAUCAGUUCGACUCUCAUUUGCUGCCAACCGAUCAUGCCUUGAGCUUGACUUCUCAGCCUGGUUACGAUUGUGGCUACGCCCAGCAGCUCGAGGCUUUGAAUUCACAUUCCAAUUCCCCUCCCUAUCACCAUGGUGGUCACUUCUAUCAUAACUGUAAUUUCCCUUUCUGCUAGUUGUAGAAUGCCGGUCUCGAACCAAUACCUUCUAAAACAAAUCCGAAAUUAAUUGUGACAAAGAAAUCGACGAAGGUCAUAAAAAAGGUAUUCAGUAAAGUAAUGAAUCUUCAAAUUCUUUUUAGCGGCAAUAGAUGAGGGAACACAAAAAUCCCGAAACUUCAAGGACUGUACAUCAAUAAUGGCACCAACAGACACAGAGCAGACAUGUUUAUAGUUUAACAAACCAAUGUGCUGAUCAAUUUAAGAGACCAUAAAACUUCUUGUUUGUGUAUAGGUGACUUGUGUGUGUAUAACAUAAUCAUUUGAAAAGGAUGCAUCAAUUAGUUAAUGAUAAGCCCCUCUAGACAUGCCGCCUGCUCUCCAGAACCGCUGAAGAUUUUCUAAUUUUCAUUUAUUCCAGUUCUAUUUUUGUUCUUUUUCAUGAGGGCUAUUCUCCAAUCAAAUGGUAUAGGUUUGGACAACCAAAAUAUUGCAGGUAUGAGGCCUGAGUAGUAAAUUCCCGAGAAUAACUAACAGACUAAAACAAGCUAUAUACUUUUCAACAGGACAGUAUACAGAGAAGUGAAAGAGAGAUGUGAAAGGCUUAAGUGGUAUACUUUUCCUUAUACAUUGGCCUAUAUCGAGUGAACUCUAAAUAGUUAGGCAUAUUUCUUUUGCCUGCAAUAUUUAACCAGUAUCCAGUUAUCAUCCAUCCAGUAAACUAAACCUAGUAACACAAGCAGCUGAGCAUGUCACAAUGAAAGAUCGUACAACCAUUCAACUAUAACAAGUGGAGAAGUAAACAGUGUUGUAAGAAAUGUGAAAUCAUGCAUGUCAAAUAAUCUAAACAGUAAAAUAAGAUGCUAUUACAAAUCAAGAUGUUCGAGUGCAGAAGUCAAGCGUGUGGUGAGAAAACUGUAAACAUGGAUGUUAAACAUGUUAGACAGUAAAAAGACAUUAAAAAACAGAUGAAACUCUUUCAAACUGAAUAGGAGUAAAAUGUUCAAGUGCAAAACUAAUAAAAACAUAAAAAUGACAAAGGAAAACAUUGAUGCAGAAAAGUAUCUUACUGGAUUUGGCAGGUAGGUACCAGUCCCACUACGAUAUCUUGGCAGUUCAUCAACAUAAUGUUGGUAACCAACCCCAGGUCUAUUAGAAAUCGAUUGUAGAGGAGCAACAGGAACAAGACGUGGUCCAUAACUCAUAAGCUGAGUGAAAAGAUUCAUAUUGUUUGAAAGAGGUCUACCAGGACCAUCCCAUGGAAAACGGCCCUGUAAAUAUACAGGUGGCACCACAAGAGGCGAAGAAUAAGCUAAAGUUCCAGGAUACCGUGAGUUUUGGCAAAAACGUCCAUAUUGCAAGUUUUGCCAGUGGCUGGCAAAAUCACUAUUAAGAAUGUCAGAUUUGUGCUCCAACGGCUCAACUGAAGCAACCCUUCUCAUAGAAUCAGAAGUACUUAACACCUCAGAUUGAUCAAGUCCGUCAGAAGAAUCAAAAUUCUGACCAGAAUCACUGUUAUCUACAACUUCCUCUACAUUAAAUUGGCUUGUUGAUGCAUCAGAAGCUCCUGUCUCAGUAGGAAAGUUGUAAACUGGAACCAUAGUAAAAAAUGGAACUGGUGGCCCUGUAGCAUAAAAUGUAAAAGGAAGAACCCCCGAAUUAUCAGCAGGUCUUUGUCUUGAACCAGAACCUAAGAUCAUUGGAGCAAUAGGUAUCAAUGACUCAGAUACACUUGUCUGUGCUGUUUCAUAUCCAGGAAUUUGAUGCCUUGGAACAUGCACAGCAGCAGAAUGAGGUCCUACGCUUCUUUCUGUCAUUUCAGGCCCCAUGGCGGAUACUGGAUUCCACUCUUUGUUCUCAUCUUCUGCCUGAUUUGACGGAUGUUCAGAGACAUUCUUACCUUUCCCAUAACCAGCAGAUGGCACUGUGGAAGCUGUUGCUUUCCUAUUUCUUUUUUCCCUUGUCGAUUUUGAUGCCUUAGCAGGUGAUCCAUCCCACGAACUCUCAGAAGAGGUUUUGCUUCUCAAAGAGCUAGUAUUCACAGUAGGGAAGGACCUUGAACCAGCAAUUCUGUCAUCAAAAUAAACUUCAGUACCUUUGUUUUCUUGAUAAGGGGAAGUAUCUACAUGAUCUUCCCUCAUUGAUCCUCGAGUGUCUUUACUAGACUUCUGCUGAACUCUUGAAGAGAUAACAGAGGCACUCAUUCGAGAUGAAGGAACAAAGUUAUAACUAGCUGAAGUGGACUGCUGGUUAUCAUCCAACUGAUGAAUUUCAAAGCUUCCAUUGUCCAGAUCAAAUCCACUGGUGGAGCCCCUAUCUGGCUCAUGCCAGAAAUCAUGAUCAGCCUCUGCUGGGUUCAUUUCUAUGGAACCAAAAUUCUCAUUACCAGGUUCGACUGAAUCAUCAGUAUUUGAAGACAAUCCUAUGCCAGGAAAAUAAUGGGUCAGUGGUGAAGAAACUAAGCCCUGAGGAAGUUGCAUAUUUGUGCCCCAAGGAUGAUCCAUCAUGGGAAUAUUUGUGGGUACCAUUCCACCCAAAUUUCUUUGUGGGCCAUACCCCAUUGAAGCUAUAACAGAAGGUGAGAUUGAAAGAGGGAUGUGACUUGAUGCCAAAUUCAGUGGAAGAUGAACCGGUCCAUUAAAACCAAGACCUGAAGAAGAUGCCAUUAUGUUCACAAAAUCUUGUUCUUCCUGAUGCAUCCCCUGAGUCCCAAGGCCAGAUGCAAAUUCUUCACCAGCAACACCCAUGCCUGACUCAUCAUGGUAACUGUUUGAAUCUGCAACAACAUCAAGGCUCUGACGAGAUGAGGCAUGUCUAAUGGAUGAAGGAUCAUCAGUUAAAGAUCGAUUAUCAUGGCUUCCCAAAUUAUCAGAUUCCAGGUUCUUCCACCUGCUGUUAUCUAGCCUAGCCGAGGAGAUCUGGCCUUUUCCAGUUUCUUGGGCUCUGUUACGCUUUACUUGUGAAGAAACUUCACCAUAAGUCUCUGUGAGCUCGGGACUAGAGCGCGUCCUUGCAAAAAGAUAUCUUCCCUGAAUAUCACCAACCAAGUUAUCAGGUUUAGAACUUCUUUGGUUUUUCUCUGCAUGUGGGCCUUGUACACCAUGAUUAUAACUGCUUCCCCUUCUAGAUUGAUCAGUUGUCCUUGUGUUGUUUGGGUUAAUAUAAGACUUUUGACUUUGACUACGAGAAACUACAGAAACUUCAGUACUUCUGGAUGAGCUUUCUAAGAGAUGAUUACCAUGCUGAGAGGGAGCACCACGCGACCUGUGUGCCCCAUCAACUUGAGCUUCAUGGCCAGAAAUUUUGCUGUUUGAAUUGUUCCUGAUAUUAUCAGACCCAUGAGAGAGGUCAGGAGUUGACAAUCUCAAGCGCCACAAAUCAUUCCUUGGUGCAUCAGGACGCUGACCAGUACCAUGUCUGUCCCAGGUGUUCAAAAAGAACUGAUUUACUUCAAAAAAUAUGUCUUCCUUUGGGCAAUCAAGUAACCUUGCAAGCCUUUUAGCGCCAAAUGCAAAUGCACUACGUAUCCUAAAGAAAUUACCUGGAAAAAAUAUGUAUUAUUUAAAGAGUAUAAAGUUACUAACUAUGCAAAAGGAUUUGUUAGGAAAAAGAAUCAGCAUAUUAAAGGAAUAAACAUUAACAGAAGAAUUGGAUGUCUGCAUAAAAAAUUCAACAAUAAUCAGCUGAUGUGGAAUACUUCUAAAACAACUCGCUUCUCCGCUCACAGAACCUACCAACACUAUUCUCUCACUCUCCCCAACCUUUCUCUUAUUUCUCUUGCUAUCGCUCUUUCUCUCUUCAGACACUACAUCCAAAAUUUUUUAUUUUUCUAUUAUGAAGUUUUUUGGUUGACUUGAGAUGAAGAUAAUUUUGAUUUAAACUUAAUGCGGAAUUAUAAAUUUUUUUCAAAUUUCAUCUCUUAGAACCUUUCACGGGAGUGCCACAUGAGAGGCACAUGACUUUUUUUUUUUAAUUAUAACAGUCAUUUGCCCAUUCAUUAUUCACAUGACAAGUAAAACACUUACAAUAGUAUCUCAAUUCAUCAUAGCAAAUUCAGUCUCUAGAAAUGUGCAUUGGUACUUUACAGUAAAUCUUCUAGUUAAAUAAAAUAAAUUAAUAAAUAAAUAGUAUCCACAAUAUCAUUAUCCCAUAUAUUAAAAAUUUUCAUAAAUCAUCCUGCUAUUGCUAGACAGCUUCAAACAAAUGGCUAAAUGACACCAAGUGAGAUGUGCGGCCAAGUACAAAGAAAAGAGAACAUCAAUUAUAAGAGGAAUCAACAAAAGCUCUAAAUAGCAGAUGCAUCAGCACAAAGCUGUCCAAAGCAGGCCACAGUUCUCCCAAGCAAAGAUUUUCUCUGUACAGCUUUAUUUAAUAGAUUCAAGACCAACUUGCAGCAGCUUCUGACCAUAAUCACUCAUUUCUGAAGCUAUUAAUUUGCAACCACUAUUUGUUUUUUGACAUAAGAAAAUAUUAUUGAGAAAGAAAGAAAUGAAAGUACACAAUGGGCUCAAACAACUGGCACAUAUAAAACAAAGCUAAAAAGAGUAAUGCCCUCCAAGCAAGUUGGAUAACAUUCAGUAAGCCCCUCUAAGAGCUCGGGAAGCAUAAGCCACCAAACAAAACCCCACCUUCUCCCACAACAACUAAUGGAUUUCAGAACAUGUAUCAAGAGAAACACCAAAAUGGAUAGUGUGUUCUUCAAUCGCAUUAGGUGCACAAUUAUAAUGAAAUUAAAACCUAGACUAUACAGUAAAGAAAGAUGGCCAAAUCACGAUGUACAAUAAUAUUGUUGUAAAGGCCAUAAAAUGCCAGCAGAUAGAAAAGACAUGAAACCAAGUCGUGAAUCUCAAUGAUACUUCAGCAGUAAUAAAAACUAACACUAACAGAGUUCUAUUUAAAUACCUUUACUAACACUACGUCCAAGGUUGUUGUUUACACGCAAAGGAUCUAUAACAUUGAAGUGCUUUGACAUGAAAGGUUGCCCUUGAUUUUCCAGGCCACCAGGAUAAACAGCAUAUACUGCACUGCAGGCCUCAAGAAAUAAUUUGCUAAGCAGUAAUUCUCCACCAUCCUUUCGAGGUGGUUCCGCUGCAAAGCAUUUGAAGGAAACACUUGAUAUUGAAUUGGUAAACACUUAAGAAUGCUCACUGACACAUUAAUCCAAGCGACUUGAAGCAAUGAAAUAUAUAUAUAUAUAUAUAUAUAUAUAUAUUGACAAAUUUUGAAGCAAUUAGGUAUACCUGUCACUUCUGGAAGUGAAUGGAUGGGUACAGGACCCCAGAGGCUAACACAAAAAUUGUCCCAAUCAAACUUACUGAAGAACUCAAGAAAACGGUACAGGACCUAGAAAUGCAGGGAAAAAUCAGAUGAAUGAAAAAAGGAAUACAUCAGGUAAAACAGUAAUAUAUGAAAAAACACCUCAAGAGGUCCAGCAAAGGAAUUGUUGAAAACAUGAAAUAUGUAGAGAACUAAGGUUUCCAGAGCAUAAGUCGAAAUCAAUCCAUGGUGAGCACCCAAAAUACGACUUUCAUAAUAACACCAAGCCUUUAUCAAUAUAAUGCUCUUCUUGAAUAAAUGAUUUUGAUUUAUCAAAUGGUCAACCUACAAAGGAGAAAGCCUUAUCAGUUCAAACUACAAAUUGCAUUACCAUUUGCAGUUUCCUAAAGCAAGAUUCUGUACAGAUGUUCAUAACACACAACUAACCUCCUCGAGGAAACAAAGAGUGCAUAGCCCACCAAGCUGAUUAAACGAUAUGUCUACUACAAUAUUUUCCACAAGACAUUUUAUUAUCUUCACCUGUAUGUUCAUUCAAAUGAAAAUGCCAUCAAAUAUACCAUCAAGAAUUGCAUUGUAUAACAAAAUAAUGAAGGCAGUCAGUAACUUUCGUUGAAAUUAAAAAAUCCAUUUACUUUCAGCAAAAAGCGCCUUUUGAAAUGUACUACUACGACAACACAAUUUUUAAAAUGUACUGUCCAAACUUGGAAUAAAACUCAGCAUUCAAAAUAAAUAAGUAGAAAACAAAAUUCUAGGGCAUUAAAUAGUAAAACAAAAGUUGCAAACAGAGUCCUAUAUGCCAUUAAUAGUGUUGACAAAGAUUUCAUCCAGUAUCCUUAUGAAGGACAUUUGGUAAGUAAUGGCAUCUCAUUGUCAACCAACUGCAUAAGAAUAAAUGUGGCCCUACUCAUCAUCACUGCUUAUCAAUAUAUCAUCCCAUCCUAAAUAUCAACCAGAAAUCCCUGCACUAACUCUGACAAGAAGAAAGCAUUAAAAAUGCAAUUGUUAAACAAACCAUGAGGUCAACUGAUCUUCAUCUUUAGGAUUACUCAUCCAUAUCCUAUCACAGGCUUUGCCGGAGGCAUGUGUUAAAGAGUUCAUAUAUGCAGUUUUCAUUAUUAUUCAUUUUUCACAAUCUGAAAUUUCAUUAUUGUUUAUCAUAAAAUUCUUCCAGUCUGUAAUUUAAACAUUUGUAUCUACUUUUCCCCCGAUAUCUUAACCUUUUUCCACGCAAAUUGAACUACCAGGUUUUGGGGGCCUGUCAUUAGAGUGAAUAGCACCUAACAAAGCUACAAAAUAAUUUCUAUAUCUGACAAUUGUGAUACAACUACAGAAAUUGGAAUAUUAACCAAUCCCGCUGAUUACUAGUCCAGAAUAGUUGGACAAAAUAUUACACGGCUUAGUGCCACUCCAUUUUCAACAUCAAUAACCAUCCAAAGAAAAAAGAGCCCUUAAAGCACCAGGACCCUUGUCACCUAAGGCAUUUGCUCAAGUAAAGUAGGCAUUGCUUCAAAAAACUGAUUAAUUUAUACAAAACAUCAUUAUCAUUUUCCUAUUCUUACUGAUUCCUCCUCCUACCUAAAAUUGUAAAAAGACACCUUGGACUUAAUAGAAUCUAAGGAAAGGACCUUUAGCAUUUUAUAAUAGAUAUCUCAUGCUUUGCCACGUUUGCCUCUCUAGUCCACAAUGUAUAAGUGAAAUUAAUAACUCAGAACUUAGAUUAAAAAUAAGCAUCAAAGGAAUGAGUCAAGCACCUCGAGCACCUAAGCACCAAGUGCCUCAGCUCAUGUGCUUGCCUAUACAUUGCCUUAGUGAAAGUCACCUAACCAAGAACUAGUUGAGGUACUUUAGCAGCAUCUUGCCUGCCAGGGUACCUAGUCAAGCACCUGGCUUACCUUUGUCACAUUGGCAAUAGCAAAAAUAUCUUAAAGGAGAAAAAACAAGAAAAGAAAGAAGAUUGCGAGGAGAGGGAGAUGAUUAGAAUAACAAAAGAGUAAUGGGUAACAAAAGGGACCUACUUCUGCCUGGAUGUACUGAACCUCUUUCACACGGAAUUCAGCAUUCUCAUUCUUCUCUUCUUUCUCCAGCGUAUCACGAACCUGAUGAGCCCAUGUUUCUUUCAAAUUUUGAUUCUUACUGAAAGCUGUUAAGUCAAUGUCCCCAUCAGGCAAAUAAGUCUUAAGGGGUACAGACCCAAAGGUGAACACCUAUAGACAACAACAAUAAUGCAUAAAUAACAAUGUAAGAACUCAUACAAUUCUGCAACAAGGUAAUAACUGAAAGCAUUGUUCACUUCCAUAACAUGAAUUCUCAAAUCACUAUUAUCAUUGCAAUUAUUCACAAGUUUGGCUUCAACCAGUCUAUUCAUUUUUGUUUCAAUUACAACAUAUGCAUACACCCCAUAGGACAAUGAUAAUGCUAAACCACCAACUCCCUCACUGCCUUCAACUUGACGAUAGUCAAGUUAAACUCAUUGUAUAUCAUAUUCAAUUCCCCUUCACUCAAACUUUAGAUCAUUGCCUUGGCUUGCAAAUGUGACCCACACCGAUUACAUCUCCAUUUCAAUAAUCCUUGCUUAGAGAUGAGAUUAUGUUCUAUCUCCUUACUUCCAAUAAUUGGACUGAGGCAAUCAUCUCCACUUAUGAUGAUACUAUCCAAACGCAAAAAGCCACACGUUAAGUAAAAAUUAGUACAUAAGCUAGACAGCACAAAUGGACAUAUGCAAUGUACCUCGCAGUGAAAGCACUUCUUGAUGAGCCGCUGCACAUAAUCUGCAACAGCAUUUCUGCGCUCUUCUGAGGGCUCGUUUGGCUGAAUGCAGGAAAUGAGCUCUGCAGUUCUCUCUUCCGCCUUCAACCAUCGUUCCGAGUCAAGUACUCGGAUCACAGAGGCCGCUUCAUUAGGCAAUAGGCCGUUUGGCAAUAGCCUCUCAUGCUCGCCCAUGCAAUCCUAGACCCUUUACCCCCUUCUCUUACACGCUAGUCAAUAACUAAUACCCAAAACCAACUCCUAUCUCAAAAAAAAGUAAGAGCACUUAUAAUAAAAACAUGAAAGCAGGUACAAUACAACAACAUAAAGCCAAAAGGAUUAUACAAAUAUUUACUACUGCAUUAAUUUCCAGAUUGUGAUUAUCAGGUGAAUCCGUUUCCUAAGAAAGAAACUUUCCGAUUAGAAAGCAAAUGGUAAGUAGUGUAAUUUCGGUCAAAAUUUUGGGUCUGGUCAAAAACAGAUAUGUAAAGUACAAAAGUACAGAAACCUUUCAGGGAAGGAACUUCAAUUUCCAAAAAUUUAGAAGUAUCCGGUAAGAAGAUGGAGAUGGUAUAAAAGCAAUGAAUGAAAUCUAUAAACUAUGAACAAAAAUGAAAACCCUAGAAAUCAAAUAUUAAAAAACCCUAAAAGAGACACUAAAUUGGAGAUAAAAAAUGCAAAAGGGUCAGAUUAUCAAAACCCUAGGCGAAAUCUCUUCAAUCCGGUGUAAUGGUUAGGUGUCGGCGAAUCAAAAUAGUAAUAUUAGAAGCGCGCUUGCCAGUAUGGAAUAUUAGAGCAUUAAAGAAAUGUUGCAGAGGAGGAAGGGAUGGUGGGAAUGAUCAAUAUUAGGUUUUGUGGAUACACAGAGAGAGAUAGAGGGGUGUUUGGACAAGAGAAUUAGGGAUUCUGGACGCUAGUGCCUAAAGACAACAACGCCUUGACGUUAGAGGUAAAAAAUUGUGCAUUUUAAGGGUUUUUCUUUCUCUAAAAUGAUUUUAAAAUUGAAAUUUAUUAGAGAGAGGGUUAUACAAUCCGGGUUCCGGAAGGGAAGACAAACAAGUAGAUAGAAAAAUACCAACACCAAUGAUAAUAAUAACCACAUAAUUCUACUAAUUAAUAAAAAAAAUUAAUAAUUUGAUGGCUGGUAUGUAAAUAAUUGUAAAUUUAAUUAUGGACUAAUGGGCCAAUAUCAAAAGCGAGUAGUAGUUCAAAACUAAAUCCGGCCCAAACUUGAAGGGUCGGUCUUUAACUGACCCAAGUUCGCUACUUCCUCAACCGCUGAACCGCGCCCUUAACUUUCCACGAUCUCCUAAAACGACAAUGAAAAUAUUAGAGAGAGAAGGAUUCAAAAAAUGAAAGGUACAUUGCAAAUGCAGAAUCAGAAAAAAAAAAAAAAAAAAAAGAAAAAAAAAGGCCUGAACACCUAACAAUAACCUUUCUCUUUUCUACUGGACCUUGUAGUUGAUCACCGAAUGUGGAAUCUGAUAUCCUUAUUCUUUGGAUUUUGAGUCUUCAGUGCAAUUUCAGAUUAAACACGAUAGGCGAGGAGACUACAGGUACAACAUCAUCGUCUUCUCUUUACCCUUAUCACCACCGUCUUCUUUCUCUAAGCCAAACUUCUAACACGUCAAUUCUCUCACAUGCAAGUCCUGCACGUCUCUUCUUAUUAUCCAAACGAUCCUCUCGUCCUCAAAUUUGAUGCUCUUCUCCCAUAAACUCCUCCGAUUCGGUUCCCUCCUCCGGCAAUGGCUUCUCCAGGUUCAACUUUAUUACUAACCCUUUCUUUCUUUUUGCAUUUAAUUUGAUGAAGAGAAAUUUCAUUUUUUUUCAUUUUUUUUUUUUUUUUGUUUGUAGUAAUUUUUGCACUAUAGAAGGACCGGAGACUAUAGGAUUUUGUGCAGAUGCAACUUCAGGAAAUUCAAGAUGAUAUAAGGAGUAGACGCGAUAAUAUCUUUUUGCUAUUUCUCCAUUUAUUCAUGUUUUAAAUUUAAAUUCCUGCGUUCUAUUUCAGCGUUUGUGAUUAGGUGAGGAGAACACUUUUAAAGUUCUGUUUCCUUGUCUAUCUUGUGCUCAAGCAAGCUUUCUACAGAUCUCCCCAUUUUUCCCUCUUCACUUACUCAACUCUGCUGCAUGUCAUUAUCAAUUUCUGCAUUCCCAACACUUGAUGAUGUUAUGUUUUUCUAUUAUUGUAAACUAAUCUAUUUUCCUCCAUUCUGUCUCACAACACCACACAAAGAACAAGUAUUAUUUUGCACGCGACCAACCUACACUAUGAAAUACAGAAAAGGAUGACCGAGGAGGGUAAAUGAUAUAUUUUUUUAUUUCAAGAUCAUUCAGGCGUGACUAUGUUCUCUGUAGUAUGUGCACGUUGUUUCUUCUCAUUAAUGUUAUUAAAAACAUUCUUUUAUUGCUUUUUAACACUUUGUACUAUUUUGUCAUAUUCUUGUCAUUUAAGGCAAUGAUUUGUAAUAAAAUGCCUGUUAUUACCCAGUUAACAUAAUAUGCAUGACCUGGUUCCAUGAAUGAUUGAGAUAGAAAAGGUUGAUUCAUUUGCGAUUGAUGAACUGCCUGCAGUGUCAAACUAGGAAAUAUUUAUGUUUUGUUGUCCAUAACUUUGUUAAGCUACUUCUAUCGACUUCAUGGGUUCAGGUUUCUUAAUUAUACUGUAUAAUCUGUGCUAGCAAGAUCGAACACAUGAAUCACUCUGUAUGCAGAAUUUAAUUCUAUGAUAGCAUCCUUAUCCUGUUGCCAACGACUUUAUUUCCUAGCACCUCCUCACAGUUUUUAGAAGUCUUUUGAUUUAAUAGCAAGUCUGAGUCGAUAUUGCUACGAAAGGGAGGAAAAUCUCUGCUCAAAAUUUUCAGUAUCUUUUCUAUAAGAAACACUUUGAGUUUUUGUGUGUUUGUUAGUUCUGAAUAAUAUGCACACAUAGAGUGUUUUGUUUAUCAUGUCUACAUAUUGUUAGAGCUAUACAACAAACAGAUUUAAAAGAAAAAAAAGAAACAUUAUACCCUGGAUUCAGAGUCGACUUUGUAUAAUGUUUGGAGAACCCCUGUAAAAUUACGUCAUACAGUGAUUGCCUCUUUUGUCACUAAUUUGCUGCUCUCUAAAUUAUUUUCAUGAUUCCAUGAAUGUGGAGACGGUGAAGCAAGUAGUGGCCACAACAGAUUUCUCUCUUUUCUUACUCUGCGAAUGACCUUUUUUGUACUUUGCCUUAAAACCCCAUUCACAGCCUUCAGAUAAUUGCUUGAGUCAUGAUCUCUUAAGAUUGUACCUUCUGAACCAUAGGCUGUAGGAUCGCUUAGAGUCUCCAAUGGAUGCGGACAAUUGAGAAAUGCAUUUAGCACAGUUGUAGAGUAUCCACAUUGUGUCUUGUCUAAUGCAUAGAGAGCACUUCCUGGAGGGAGGAGAGGAUGUGGUGGAGAUGACUUCUCAUCAGGUUGCAGAAUGAAUAAUUUACCGAGUGGAGAGUACAACAGUUUCUGAAUAAAAACCCAAGAUAAAUUGAAUAAGGAAUUUGGACAUGUUUUCUUUUAGGUUCUGAACAUUUAUGUUUAAAAAAAUAAGAUAGUAUUUAUAUUUAAAAAGAUAAAUUAUAUGGUACAUUUGUUGGAAACUUCACAUUGGAGGUACAUGAACCCCAUGAAUUUGAGCAAAAUUUACAUAUAGGUUUUGGAGGGAUGAAAUGUUAGUGGUCAAAAUAAUUGAGCUUUUAAUUAGAAAGGACCUCAUAAAUCUGAGGAAGUUCUUAUAGAUGGUUUCGAAGAUGCAAACUUAGAGGUGACUGAGGAAAUACUUACAUUUUUUAUUAGACAAGGGUGUGACCGGAAUGAACCAUUUAAGCGCUUGAGGACUUGAGCAACUUGGUUGGGGUAGUUGCAAGAGAAAGCUCUUGGGACAAUAUCCCUAUGCAUCAUCACACUAUGAACAUGGCCAUCUUCCAACCCCAAAUUACUCAGUAUCUUGUGGCCUCCACAGAAUACGAAUGGUGAGCCAAAAGUAACCACUGGACGAAGAGUGGAGGGCUUGACUACCUUCCUGGUCAGUAGCAUCAAGUUGACCAAAAGAGAGAGGCUACCCCCAAGGGAAUGGCCAGUAAAUUGAAGCUUUGCACGUUCUCCAUGUCUAGUCAAAUGGUCAAUUAUUACUGGCAUGAACUGUUCAUAUAUUCCUUUUGCUGCUUCAUAAAUUCCUCUGUGAACAAGCACUUCUGUCCCCUGUGAUAACAAAAUAUAUAUUGAUAUAUUGGUCUUUCCUCUCCUAAUUUGCCAUAUGAAUAGUCAUUUGAAGUACCCAGUUGGAACAGUAAGAAGUUGCAGUCAAUGCUCACCUCAAAUUUAGUAGGUUCAAAGAAGAGAUUUGCUUGCCAGGAUGCCAAGGAGUCAGAUCCCUGCAUUUUGCACCAUUCUACGCAUUAGGGAUCUCUCAUAUUGCUGUUUUUAUUUCAGAUUAUAUUAUCAUUCCCUGUGUGAAAUUUAUUUUUUAUGCAUUGGUUUGCUAAAGCCUAGAGGAGCAAUCUUUGACUGAUAUAUGCUAUCUAAUGUCUCUUUCUUGCAGAUUAAGAUAGAUGGUGAAGGAAUGAUUACCUGAAUUACAAAGCAACAAGUAUACGUGCUUAAGUCAUCACAAACAAACCAUUCACAAGGUGAUGAGUGAAGUGACUGUAGGGACUUUGCUGCCUUCUGUUUUUCCUCCUCCCCAGCUGCAACCACUGCAGUCAUUGUUGAUGCUGCCACUGCUGCAGCCACCUCUGAUUUGUAUACUCGAGGUGAGUUUUCUCCCCACUCAUCUGGUUGGGCUACUCUUCUGUGUGAAUCUGCACAUUCAUUCUUAUCCUGCAAUGCAGAGCUACAAGAUGAAUAGACUUUUGUGCGUGAUUGGACGUAAGAUGCUGCUGAUGCUGCAAUCUCAUAAACAGACGAGGGAAGUGCGCGCUUCUUCUGCUUGGAGUCCUCAUCUUCCUCCAAUUUGGAUUUGACAAGGGAAGCAACAGGUAAAUAUGUAGAGUCCUUGACAAGUUUUGCUUUUACAGCAGCUGCCUCUGCUUUCUUUUCCAAGGAAGACGUUACAAAUCUUAGCCCAUAGUAUCUUCUCAAAUCCAUGGCCUGCAAAUUGAUAGAUGAAGUACUUAUGUGAACUAGAUAAUUUUAUCUGCAUGUUUGUUUGAAGCUUUAUUUCUUCGGGAAGGUUGGGAAACUACUGAGGCUUAUGCUUUCUUUGGAUCAAACAAUGAAUGAGAAACGAACGGAGAGGGAAAUUUUCUUGAAGCUGCUUGACUAAUAUACUUGCCUUUCUUGUCCUUAUUGUUAAAAUCCAAAACUGAAAUCUUCAUAUAAGUUAGUUAAUGCUGUGCAAUUAACUAAAGAAUGCCUGAAUUUGGUACACAUACACAAAGUCCAGAAGCGCACAAUUCAAAAAAUGGGGACUAUCUAGAUUCUAGAGCCAUUAGUUGCGGAGGACAGAUAAGAGAAAGUAGUACAUAUCCUUCAGUAAGUUGCAACCUAUUGAUAAAGAUUCUAUCUGUAGUUCUAUGUAAAUUCUAUACUCUCUGAAUUUGCAGUUCAACUAUGAAAUCAGAGAAGAAAUUAGGUGUGAUUUAAUCAUUUGCCUAUUGAAGAUAGGGAGAUCACGGAGCUUCCAUGAAGAGAUAAUAUGGACAUUAUUAAGCUAGCUUAUGCCUUGCACCUCAGAAAAUGAGAGCAUUUUUUGAGAAAAUAUUACUUUAGGAUCUCCAAUAUAUCAUUGUAGAAAACAAGUAGGCAUACCUUGAUCUCAGGUAUGACAUAAGCCAUGUUGCACAAGAAGGCCAGCUUCGAGAAUCGCUUUGUAUCAGACCAUGGUACAUGAGCCAAAAAUCUUGAAAAUGAUUCACGAUCAUAUUUCAUUUCUCCUUCUUCCUUUUCUAAGUUAUAGUCCACCAUGCACCCAUCCUCAUCACCAUCAGAACUGCAGUCACAAUUCUCUUCCACAUCACAAAGCUCAUCUCCAUCUACAUCCUCUUUUUUCUGCCUGUUUUUCCAAUGACUGCUAAUCUCCAUUAGCCUCUCCAACCAAUUUCCUCUCUUGACCUCCUCUUCUUCAUCGCUCUCCUCUGAACUGUCACCUGUAUUGACAUUUUUCUCCACUGUAUCCAUGUCUCUGCUUGUUUCUGGAUCAAACAGAAAUGAUCUAAUUGAGUUUGGGAUUAUGGAGCUUGAAAUUUGGAGUGGAAAAAUCCCAAACGAACGGCUGUUCUUUAGCUUAGGCUGUAUUGUUUCUGCAUGUAUGUGGUUGACAGAACAACACAGGAGGUUCUCUGAUGAGGAUCUUCGGAGUAUGGCUUGCUUGUGCAGAUCUUUGCCAGAUUCUGAUCGACGGAGGCCAUUAUGUUCUUUGAAGACAUCUUUGGUGGUCAUGGUUGCUGGACAGGAAGAGAGAGUCACUGAAGUGCAUGCCAUGGCCUGUAACAGGUCGUUGCUGCAGUGAUUCUAACGAGAACAUAUAAGUGAAGAGUCUGCCACCUGGGUUAACUUGAAGAACAAUGCGCCUUGUUGGUUUUGCAGAUUUCUUGAAAACAGAUCAAGGUGCCAUAGUAGACUUUAUAAGGACAGUAGGGGCAACCAUAUUCCUAGGAAACAACGAUAAUAUUAAGAUGCCAAAAUUUCUUGCUCUCUAGUCAAAUUACUAACUUAAUGACAUGUUUAAAGAUUAUAACAAUGUGUGGGAAAAGGGUAUUAAGAGUCGUUAGAUUUUGUCACUUUGUUGUGAAGAUAGGACAUGUAGUUAUGUUCGAGACCCUGUUCUCAUUAAUCGUGGUCAGGGCAAGUUAAAACAAGCUGCUGAUACUUCCAAUUUUGACCAAACCACCAUAUGUCCUAGACAUUAUAGUCGAUAAAUCCUGUACUUGAAUCCAACUUCUUAUACAUCAUCCUUUUCUGACUUUAUUCUUAAUUAUAUGAUUCUCUGCCUCCUAUAUUAUAAAUUAUAUAGAAUUUAUGAAAAAGAGUUCCACAUCUCUAAUUUACUGAUGACAGUUCGUGGGGAAAGAGUAAAGGCAAAAGAUGCCAAUUUUUACAUUGCAAUUAUAUGAUAAGUUUUACAUUGUUGAUGAAUUUUUUUUUUAAAAGAAGUUUGCCCAAAUAGUGUAGAAAUAGAAUUUUUGGGCAUCUUUGAAAAUUGUUUAGGCUGCUUUAAAUUUUUAAUAGUGAAAAUUAUGAGAAGAUUUCACUUUUUUUUUUUUUUUUUUUUUUUUUGUAGGCCAAAAAUCUCAGUAUUGUUAAAUAUGAAGAAAAAAAAAAAAGUGAUGAAGUGCUAUAACCAGAAAUCACAUGAAAAGGUUCCAAUAUUGUAAGAAAAAAUAAUUAAGUAGCCUUGUGCCUACAAAAAUCUCACCUUUUAUAUAGUUGAUCUCAAAGGGAGGUGGAGGUCCCUCUCCCUCCAUUUGUUUCAAUGUCAGUGUCCCAAAGGCUUAAAAAUUUCCGUCCUCAGCUACCUGCCACAUCUACAAAACUUAAAUUCUAGCAAUUAUACGUAACAAACCUAUGCAAUUUCAUUUAAAGAAUCUAUAACAUUUUAACCCUUCACAAUUUGCUGAUUGUGUAUGAAAUGAAAGUACACGAUAUUUAUCAAACAUUCGGAGGUUAAGAUCAAAAUUACAUAAACAUAAGUCGUACGGUAGAUGCCGUCGAGAAUUUUUCUUUUACUUUUUUUCUUUUAACAUCAAAUCAAAUACUAUAUUAUAUGCAUGUGUCUAUUCGUUAUCUUUUCACUACACAACUGUUAAUUGUAUUUUUAUUAAGUUAUAUCUAAAAGGUAUAAUAUUAAAUAUUAUUAUAAAGUUCCGUGUAUUAAUUAAAGAAUGUUAAAAUAUUAGAGAUAGUAACUGCCUGCUUCAUGUGUGUAUAUAUAUAUUUAAAAGAUAAUCAUAACAGUAAUACCGAAAAAGAAAAGGAUAAUCAUAACAGUGAUGUGAUAUGAUUGAGAGACAUUUCAAAUUUCUGUUCUGUGCAAAUCGCAAUAGCCAAUAGUAAUGAAAUCUUUUUUCUUUUUGUCUAUCGUAAUUUUCAUCAAUUGAUUUGAGAUUGAGAAUGUAACAUUAGAAACAGACAAACACACGAGGUCAAAACAAAAGCUAAAGCUACCUAAAUCGUGAAAAUCCCAGAUCCAUUUUAAACCUGGAUUGUAAAUACCAAUGCACAGAAGAUCGGAUAUUCCAUCUUCAAGUGUCAAAAAAAGAAAAUUUACGAAGCUAACAGAAUUAUGUUUAUUCAAUGCUUAUCAAGCUCAAACAAACUAAAAUUAUAGCAAUUGGGAAGAUUACGCUGAUAAUUACCUUCAAUAUUACUCCUUGAUGUUUCUCCCGCGAUGGACCGUAUAUAUAACAGCAAUGCAAGUUGAUCCAACACUAAAAUAUUUCACUUCCUGUCUUUCCUCCAAUCAAAUUUCGAAAAAAGAAGAAAAAAAAAAAAUAUAUAUAUAUAUAUAGAGAGAGAGAGAGAGAGAGAGAGAGAGAGAGGUAACCAACGAUAGAGGACUGUAGCUAUGACUAUAAGAGAGAGAUUUGAGCUUCUGAAGAAGAUUCUUUGUAUAUGGCAGGGAUUUCUUUACAUAUACAUUUUGCGUUUAAGAGAAUAUUUUUAUAAUGUAUGCAUCAACAAAUGUUUCAUUAGAUGGAUCUCUGGCUUCUUGUCACAGAUGGAGUUAGGUGUCCUUGUGUGUGUCUCUCUCUAUAUAUGUCUGUGUAAAAGAUGAAUGAAUCGGCGAAAGAAAGAGCCCCCCACGAGGGAAUCAAUUCACGUGUUGAUUGAGUUCAAUGAGGUGGCACUUUUCUUCUUGCCAACUCUUCGACGGUCUAAUUUUUCAUGGACGUAAAUGACCUUGCUGUUCUUUAAUUGCGUUGCAAACGCUUAUUUUUUGAGGCAAAUAGUUUGAUUUAAUUUAUUAAAAAAUAAGAGCUUAAAAGUUAAUCGUAAAUCACUUAGAUAGACUUCCUUUAUAAAAAAUAAGAAUCAGUGAAAAAUAAAUUAUAUGUUUUUUUAAUUGCAACUAAGUCGUGCAGAAGACAACUUUUGGCAUCCAAAUGUCUUUGGGGUAUUCUCGUCAUCCCAAACGAGAGGCUACAGACGCUGCAGAGUGCAGACGCCAGUCAUUUGCGAAGCUGCCUUGCCUUCCAGCCAAAUGUGCGGUUGCAUGAGCCCCCCACUCCCAGCAACCACCACGUCAAUAGACACACAUGCGGCUCCGGCCACCUCCAUUGGCGUUGAAAAAAGAAAGGCGAGCCAAAGCUUGGCUUUUUAAGUCGUCCAUUACUUCCUCUUGGCCUCUCUCUUGCCAGUUUUGUUAAGCCUGCCAGCUGUCGGCCGAUGAUGAUUCUCACUCUAACUCUUUCAGUUGCGAAGCAAAAUUUAACACCGCCACGUGAUUGUACGCAAGAGAAAUAUGUUGGGUUGGGCUGGACUCGGCUGGGCUUGGAUUGGGUGGAUACUUUUGCUUAUAAAUCUGUGAAAUGGAUUGGUUGGGCCAUCUUUUUAAUUUGUUCAAUGACCAUUUGUUUUGAAGACAUUAACAUUGGUUGGCCCAUGCCCAAUAGUUCUGUUUCUCAGAAAACCGAGUUGAAAACCAAUAACAUUUUCUUUUUGUCCCAAAAUCUAAAUAAAUUCAGACCAUACUACGUUAUAUAUUUUACCUUUGACAUAAUUGCUUUAAUUUUAUUAUAGAAAUAUGGAAUUCAUUUGAAUUCACAUACCCUUACUGCCUAAGCUCCAAAAUAUUUUUAUUUGGUUUCUCCUAAUUUUCAAAAAAAAAAAAAAAAAAAACUCUUUUACCCCUAAUUUUAGAGUCUAAUUUCAUUCCUGCACUCAAAUAAAUAUGUUACAAACCAUACUAACUGAAAUUGAAGCAAAAAAUCUUCUCAAAAAAAAAAAAAAAAAUGAAGCAAACAAUGCUAGGAAGCAUGCUAUGACCUAAUAUUAUGUGGAUUAUUUUAUAUUUCCUCAUACUACAUAUAUGGGACUACUGCCUUGUUUGGAAAUAAGAGGAAAGAAAAUAAAGAGAAAAUUUAGCAUUUUUUUAAUCUUUUUCUUUGAUAGAAUAAAGAAAGAAAAUAUAUUUAUUUUUCUUUAUUUGGAAAAAUAAAAUUUAGGAGAAAGAAAAUAUCAUUAUUCAAAUUUGACAAAUGUGUUCUCAUUUAUUUUUAAACAAUAAAAUGUUCAUCUAGUUAGUUUGGAUAUUUAGGUAAUUUAAUAAAAAUAAGUAAUUAUAUUUUUCCCAUUAUUUUUCUCUUCAAACUACAGAAAUUCAAAAAUGUGGACUCGAAAAUAAAUUUUCACUACAUCUUUCAACAAUAAAAAAUAUUUUUCCAUGACUAUUUUCUUUUUUUGAAAAAAAACUUCCAUCCAGAAGGCUAAAAGAAUAUAUGCAAAUAAAAUGCACAUCAAUAUAUAUAUAUAACGCAAUCAUUUUCUCUCAAAAAGUUGACAUGUAUCAUUUCUUAAAUAAAUGUUUUUCUCUUGUUCUUGUCCAAUAAAAUUUUUGGUAAUGACACGUAGGAUUACAAUGCCACAUGUGACUCUUAAAUUUUAAUAACGCUACAUAGAAUUUAAUUAUUAGUUAUAGUACUAUAUAAAUAUUGAUAUUAAUUAUCAUUCAAUUAUCAUAAAUAAUGCAUAUCAGUAAAUAAUUAUAAUUAUUAUAAUGUUGUAACCUAUCUUUUCAAUUAAAAUUACAUAAUGUUGGUCUUAAUUGUUAUUCAAUUGUCAUAUUAAUAUAUAUCAAAUAAUUAAAAUUAUUAUAAUAUUAUAAUCUGUUUUUUAAUUCAAAAUUAUCAUAAUUUUGAUGUUGAUUAUCAUAUGAAUAUGUAUUGUAAUUUGUCUUUUAAAUUAAUAUUAUCAUAAUAUUGAUAUUGAAUAUCAUUAUAUUCAAUCAAAAUUAUCAUUUAUUAUUAUGAAUGAUAUAUUUAAAAGAAUGAUAGAGAAGGUUAAUGGUGAAAAUAUUUAUUAAUAAUUUUAUUAACGAUGAAUAUCUAAACAUUUCAAUAUUUAUUUGUCUUUAAAUUGCAAUAUAUAGUUGUCUUUAUUAGUUUUACUGAUAAUAUAUUGAAUUGUCAUUAAUUGCUUAUUGCUAGACUAUAAAUAAAGAGAGCUCUUUGAGGUUUGAUAAAUUUUUUUUUUUCUAAUUUCAAUAAUUCUUAUACAAUUUAUUUUCUAAUAUUGAUAUCUUUUUCUUUCUUUUCUAAUUUCUAUUACUCUAUCAAAUUAGGAAAAAUUUGAUAAAUCGCAACAGAAAGCAGUUUAUAUGAAAUUAUCAUUAAGACUGACAUAUAUAUAGUUCUAUAGUUGAAUUUCUAUUGUCUAUUUUAUUUUUAUUUAUUUUAUUAUUUUUAAUACUAUUUAAGAAAAUUUAUUAAUUUAAAAACAAAUUAAAAUCAAUAAUUUUUAAUAUAUAUUUCCUUUUCUUUCAAUUUUAUUAUAGACAUUAAUUUUUAUAUAAUUAAUCAAAUGUUUUGUAUUUGAGAUAAAUGUUAUUUAAUUUAAAUAAUUUUCAACUAAAUUAAUAAAUAUAAAAUUAAAAAUAAUUUAAAUUAUAAAUUUUUUCUUAAUUAAAUUAUAUAUUUUAAAAUAUUAUCACAAUAUCUCUAAAAUCAUAAAUAAAAAUAUUUACUAUGUUCGCAAGUGACACGUGGAUAAAAUGUAUAAACAGGAAAUUGUCGAUACCAUUACGUAAUCAUUUUUAGGAUUCGAAAAAAAAAAAAAGCAAAAAUAAGAUUAUAAUUAAUCUUCCACCACAAGACACAAGCGUGCUGAAGAGUAGAAUAUCCGGAUAUGCGUUGUUCUGUUGUCUGGAAUUGAGCCAUUCACUUUAAGAAAACUUGACAACGCAGACAGACACAGUCAUAGGAAUAGUUCCUUUGUUAGCGCCUCAAUCUUCACUCACUCCUCAACCAAUUGGGAGAGACUCCUCAAUCUGCUUUUCUAUCCUUUCUUUUGGCGAUAAAGACAAAGAGAGCAUUCUUAGUAGCCAAGUAUUACACUCUUAAAAAAACGGUUAAAAGACUGAUUCAUAAAAGCAAGUCGGUUAUGGUUUUCGUACAGCAAAUCGAAUCACAAAUAGCCACGUUAUCUCUAUCUUUUGGCUUUAAACGACAUUUUAAUAAAAAUUAAAAAAUUAAAAAAGUGCUCCGAUUAGCAAAAUGACAAAUGAACUUCUCUUCUCACUGGUUAACCACUUCCUAAAAAUUGGGUCCCGACAUUUUUACUUGCAAAAUUUUUGGACCAUUCGUUACUUAUUGUACAACAAAGUUCGCUGUUCUUUUUACCUGGUCAUGCUUUUGUACUCAGUGGAUAAGCUAACCGAUAAGGCUUAAUGAGAAUUGACUUUACCCUACUCAGGCUUUAGGUUUAUGAUAUUUGGAUUUGAUUUAUUAUAUUAGUACAGCGGAGAGAAGACAAUUGUUUUAAGGAGCGGAAUAAAAUUUUUAAAGGGGUUAAAUAUAAAUUUUUAUAUUUUUAACGAUCAAAAUGUAAAUUUUUAUAAGAUUUUUUUUUUUUUUUUUUAAAGUUUCUUGGAAGGCCAUGGCCCUCUUGGACCCUUAUAGAGCUCCACUGUUGCAUAUUAAUGACUGAUAAUCUAAUAUUAAUAUCUUGAAAUAUAAAUAAUAAAAUUUUUGUUACGUCUUAAUAUUGAUUCUCUCCUUUAUAAAAUUUUACUAACACGUAAAAACUAGAGUGUUCUCAAAGUUUAAAAUUGCUAUAAGUCGUCUAUUAAUGUUUUGAAAAUUUCUUUCCUGUAUAUUAAUGGCUCAAUAUAUCAAUUCAACAAAAAAAAUUGAAAAUUUACUUAUUUAUUCUUUUUUCUUAAGAUAUGAUAAAAAAAUACAUGUAAUUGAUUUAAUAUGUAGAUUUAAUGUAUAGAUGAACUUAUACACGAGAUGUAAUAAGUCUUUCGUGCUAGGCUAUCAAUCUCCUAUUAUUGAGGAAGGAUAGGAUAUAUAUUGACAAUUAUCCUCAAGAAGUAAAGCCAUGCCAUUGAAAAUGAAAAAGGGUUGUCCAAUAGAUACAAAUCCCUAAUCCAAGUCCCACUGCAAGUAGUUGGAGAUAAUAAUGUUUCAACUUUCAAGAUUCAACCCAAAUUGGCAAGAAUUUCCUAGAUAUUAUCCAAUUGCAAUAGAUUGUUUUCAACUAUUUUUGGACAAGUUCAUCCCUCCAAGACUGACUUACUACAUCUGGGUCAAGCAGAAUAAAAUGCCUUUUGGUAAUUUGCUUUGUUCUUGCUAGCUUAUUUUUGUCUUGUUUGAAAAAGACUAUUCUAUUACCCUCCUUUCAAUAGUCAUUAACUUUUCCUUGAUAAAACACCACUCAAACAAAAAUGUUCCUAUUUGGCUUCUAAAUCUUUUUAUUUUACUAUAAUAAGGAAUAUAACAACUAGAAUACAGAUUUCUGUAAAGAAAUUGAAAAAGGUUAUUAAAUUUCCAUAUAUUAAAUCAAUUUGAGGAUCACAUGACUGAAUCCUCCAAUAAUUUGGAUAGGUUUUGCUAGUGGAGGAAUGAAGGAACCUAAUCUCUCUUAUCAUGAAAUUUUGUCCUUCAAAAAAAAAAAAAAAAAUUGGAUGGACCAAUCAAACUGCACCAUGUAAUUAUACAGAACAUUUCCUGUCUUCCUCUAGAAGAACAGGGGCUGCCCAAUCUAUGUGGAAUCUUUAUUAGUUUAGCCCAAUUGAGAUGGGAGAUAGGACAUCCACUAUUAAAGCAUAUGAAAUGCGAAUGGGCAUAUAGGUGGCAACGAGUAUUUACAGAGUUGAUCACUAUAGUUUAAGUAAUGAAUUUAAUUUUCUGCAAUAUAAACUCUUUUUCAGGCCAAUCCCUUUAUCGCCAAUGAGCAUGGAUCUCGUGCAAGAAUAUAUAAAUAUAUAUAUAUAUAUAUAUAUAUAUGAAAGCAUUUGAAUCCUAAAUCACAUUUUAUUUUGUUUUGUUUUUUGUUUUUUGUUUUUUUUUUUUUUUUAUGUGCCUUGACCGGUAGGAAUCUUUGCUUGCCCGUUGAUAAGGGAACUUUGAAAUCUGCUUUGCAUUUUAUCUUUUUACCAAAUGAAGUAUAGAAUUGAAAGGAGUUGUAUGUGUGAAUAUAUACCCUUGGAAGUUGGAACUACACGGUUAUUGUAAGUGGCAGAUUCAAGACAAUAAAAAAUUGAUGAAUUUAUUAAAUUGUAUCCAUUCAAAUUCUAAUAUUAUCCUUUCAAAAUCAAAAGUAAAAUUUAUAGAAAUGGUGUUUUUAUGAAAAAUAUUAAAAAUUAAAAAUAUUAAAAAUCCAGACGUACAUUUAAAUUAUUCCAACGUAUAAAUAUUAAAAAUUACAACUUAUAAUAAUAAAUAACUCAGAGAUAUUGUUCCAUAAAAAAAAAAAGAAGAAAAUAUACUUUAUUACUGUUCUGUCACACACUCAAAGAAAAGAGUGAAAAAUAGCACACGAUUUAGCCAUUUCUAGACAUUACAAUCUUUAGUAUUUAAAUGAGAUAUACAAAACCACAAGAAAUGGAACAUAUUGCUUUAUCGCGGUGGAAUUGCAUUUUCACGGAGAAAGGGACAAAGAUGAAAGAACAAUGAACAUGGCACAUAGGUCCGUCCAACCUCUCUAUUCAGUGUCUUUGUCAAUCGUGCUUCUUCUUACUUUUUCUCUUUACACUUACCUACCACUUUCCUCUAUCUCCUGUCUAUCUAUGACUUUACCUAACUCAACCCUAAUAAAUGAUAAUUAUAUCAUUCCUCAAUUUAAUUUUGAUUUGCAAUUAAUAUUUCUAAUUUUGUUCAAAAAAAGUACAUUACUUCCAGUAUAAAAAAAAAUAAAAAAUACAUCUCACUGGGAGUUCUUUUCUUCUUAGUGGGCUUUAAAAAGGCUGAAGAUGCUUGUCUGAUUAAUUAAAAAAAGAAAAAAGAAAAAAAUUUUGACAAUACCCAAAAUAGGUUUGAAGUAGAUUGGCAUAAGUGACAAAUGAAGAACAAGAGCCUAAACCUUUUAUAGAUAUGGCCCAAUUAAUAAAGAUGGAAGACCCGAAAGUUAAAAGUUUUUCUACGAAAAUGCUGCACUGGAAGGGGGAAAAUUUCAUUUUGCCUCCUGAACUUUGAUUUGUUAUUGAUUGAGUAUUUUUAUUUUAAUUUUAGUUUCCAAUCAUUUGAUUCUAGACAAAAUUAUUAUAAAUAUGGGUAAGUUACAGAUAUUUUUAACCCAAAAAAAAUAGAUCAUGAAAAUUUUACUGUGAUAUCUCAAUCAUAAAAAUAUAAUAAAAUAAAAAAUCUUAAAAAUACUAUUAUCACAUGCUAUUGAUUUAUGAAUUUUUAAAAUAAAGAUUUAGAGAUUUGAUCGAUCUAAGAUCAAGAAAGAGAAUUGAAUGGUCUAAGUCAAGGUAUAAAAUUUCUUGAAGAGAAGGACAAGUUACUCGGUGAACAUUAUUAUUAUUUUUAUAAUUAUAAUAGCAUCGGUCGUGGUCGCUGUUACAAAAACGAAGUUUAUUAUUAAAUUAAAAUGUAUGGACAAAAUUUUUGCCUGCUUUGGUGGUUGUAUUCCAGUCCACAAAAUCACAUCUUAGAUAGUUAUAUUGUCCUCUGGAAAAAUGCCACGUGUCCCUUGACGGACUGUUUGUCCAAUCCACAAUAAAAAAGUAUAUAUUAUAUGUAAGUUAUAAAUAUUAAAUAGCAAAUGGUGGUGGGGUUGUUGGAUGCUGCCCAUCACCAUUAGAGUAAAGCUUCAGCUAAAACGAAAGACAUUGAUGCGAAAUGAACCAUAUCAAUUUUGUGGAAAGUAAAACAAAGUCUAUUUUUAUUUUUCUUUUUUCAUGAUUAAAUAUUUAUAUUUUAAAGUAAAAUUCGUAAAUUUUGUUUUGUUUUCUUGUUCAUGAGUAAAGUUAUUAUAAUCUAAAAAUGUAAAUAGCUAUCAUUUGGCAUUUUAUGCGUGUCAUGCAAAAUGAAAUUAUUGACAAUAAUUUAUUCAUGGACUUUAAGACGUUUAUUUUCAUUUAUACAAUCAAAUUUCUCUUUUAGUUUUAUAUAUAUGCAAUAAGAAAAUGAUUCUCUUGUAUUUUCUCAUUUAAAUAUUAUUUUAUUAUAACCUAAAAUAACAUUUCGGUGGUGGUUGCCUUUAUUUCGUGUUUCGUAAUAUGAGUUGUGAUUGCUAUCCAACCAACAUGAUGAUAUCCCGCUUGACAAUAAAUUCACGUUACUGGACUUGACAAAAUUUUUUAUUAUAAUGAAUGCAUAUCCAUAUUAUUGGUAAAACAUAUCUAAAAUAACUUAAAUAAUUUAAUAUGUAUUUUAGUAGUAUAUUUUUUAAUUUUUCAUCAAUUAUAUUUAUAAUGAUAUAUCUGAAUAUGUUUAUAACCGUGAAGCAUGUUGAACGUGCCAUUAAAAAAAAAAUGAAAAAAAUAUUUACUAUCCUUGACACGUUGGACAUUCACUUGUUGACGUUGGGUAAUCAAAUUAAUUUUUUAAACCUGAUUUUUAAUUACUGUGUAACCUUUUUCAUUUUAAUAUAAUAUUGCUUUGAUGACAUCAAUGUCUACAUAGAUUUCAAGGAGUGUAGUUUUUUUAAUUUCCAUAUCUAAAGGGGGCUGGCAGUAAAAACUUACACAGUUUCAACGAAUCAAAUAAAAGCACAUUAAAGAAUAAGCUAAAGUUCUCUCUCUCUUUUUUUUUUUUUUUUUUUUUUUUUAAUUCAGCAAUAAAGUAAUAUCACAAGAUUUAGUACAGUUAGUAAAAAUAUUUAUUUUUUAUCUUUUAUUAUAAUUGAUUUUCAACAUUAUUAAUUGUAAUUUUUUUUAAAAUUUAAUAUGAAUAUAUUAUAUUUAACAAGUGAAAAAGAACAUAUAAUAUCAAUUAAACAUGAUUUGAUUGAUUUUUUUAUUUUUGGAUUUGAAACUCCCAAUGGAUUAAAAAAAAAAAAACAUGUGAUGCAACUUUAUUGUCUUAAAAGUUUUUCUUUGGUAAAAUGGAUGCUGUGGAAGGGCAAUUAUGCCAUGUGAAUAGCUUCCACGUUUAUCUGAAUGUGAAAGAUUAAUAAAAAAUUCACAAAAAAAGGUCGUCCUAACAUUACCCCCACUUCAUCGUGCUUUGACUUUAAAGAAAACCCACUAGCUUAGUGGUGGUCACACUUACAUGCUAAUUGGAUAAAUUCCAUUUACCUACCGAUUUCACCAUCAUACCCAUACGAUCAUCGGUGCAAAAUGGACCGUCACUGCCAAUCCUGAACACCCCCUGUCACUCUUUCAUUUUUUUUUUAAAUAACUAAAUAACUUUUGUCGCAAUCAAUAAACGAAUAAAUAAAUAAUAUUAAUCACUUUAUCUAAUAGGGUAAGAUGGGCCCAAUAGACGAAACAGAGCUCUGGUUGGGCUUUAAAACAAAUAUAAAAUGAGGAUUGUCGGUGGAUUCGUUGAUUUUUGAUAGUCUGCUAAGCCAAGCUAAAUCCAAAGGCAAAGUCGAAGCCUAUUUGGAAAUUGCAUCGAAUCCUCCGUGACUAUCACCAAAAGCUUAUCUCCGUAGGAAAGCUUCAGCUUUAUUUCUCAUCCAGACGAAGAGAAAAGCUGUGACCUGUGACUUCUAUCUACAAAGAGAGAGAGAGAGAGAUUUCAUAUUUAUAAAAUGAACGGCGGCGACGCGUACGGUGUUGUGGAGGCGCAGUACAUACGGAGACACCAUAGGCACCAGGCCCGAGAGAAUCAGUGCACGUCUGCUCUUGUUAAACACAUGAAAGCUCCUGUUAAUCUCGUGAGCUUUCAGCUUUCUUUGGGUUCAUCAAAUACUACUAGUUUUUUGUUUGUUGGUUUGUUCGAUUUAUCAUUUUUUGUUGGUUGACUUUUUGGUUCUUUGUGAAUCUAAACUAUCCAGAUCCGUCUCGUUCUAUUAUUUUACUUAUUUAUCUUCUUCUUCUCACCGGUUUGGCCUUUUAAUUUACUGAUUUUGAUUUGUAUAACUGUGAUUUUGAGUUACUGGUCUUUAGAUUUGUUAAGAUUCGAGUUUAAAUGAUUUUUCUGAGAUAAGAUUUUGUAUAAACGGGAAUUUUUGUUACUAUUUUGAUUGUUUAUAAAUUAUUUGGACCAGGUAUGGUCACUUGUGAGGCGAUUCGAUCAGCCACAGAAGUACAAACCAUUUGUGAGUAGGUGCGUUGUCAAUGGAGAAGGCGGGGGGCUUGGGAUUGGAAGUGUCAGGGAAGUGAAUGUCAAAUCUGGACUCCCUGCUACGACAAGCACUGAGAUGCUUGAACUCCUUGAUGAUAAGGAACACAUUCUUGGAAUCAAGAUUGUUGGUGGUGAUCACAGGCUAAGGGUAUAUAUUCUAUAUCACUUUUUUUAAAAAAAUUUAUUUAUAAUUUUUUUUAAAGAUUCUCUUGCUAUAUAUAUGUUGUGUUUGUCUGAGAAUUAGAGAGAAGCAAAAUUGAUAUGUUCUUCAACAUUUUAUGUUUUUUCUCAUGGAUUAACUAGUUAGAUCACUUUAUCAUUCAAUUCUACAUGACUGAAUGUUUUGCUGUUUUUUCUGCAUUUGAUGAAGUGUUUAGUAUUUCCUUUUUCCAUUGGUGUUCGCCCACUGGAGAUUGUGCUGAAUCACCCUCUUAUGAACUUUUAUUUAUUUUUCAUUGAUGUUUAAUGGGUUGUUUCUUAGCAAUCUCAACUCCAUCAAGUGAAUGAUUGUCCUUACCUUCCAGUUAUCUUUGUUAAAUUUGGAAAGCAAUUAGAUGAGUGUAUGAAACUUCAUAUGGUAUGAAAUGGAAUCUAUUGAUUUCUGAUCUUGCAGUGCUUGCAUGUUUUGAGUUUAAAGGAUUCUUUUUUCGCUGGAACAGACAAUAUUCUAUUGCUUUUCUCUCACUCGUUUAUGUUCUUAUUAGGUUAUUUUAAUAUGGGGCCUUGAUAUCACUAGUGUGUAGUGUAGUUUAGCAUGACAUUGCACAUGGGAUUAAAGUUGGUUGUCAUCUUUUUUAUCUUUAUGCUAGCUUACAAGCGACUUGUGAAUUUUUCUCGCCCCUUAAAUUUUAAUUGAGUGGUGGAAUGCUUUCUGGUGGAAUAAUAUCACACCAGUAUGCUUGUGGGGAUUUUGUUUUUUGCAAUCUUCGAAAAACAUUUUUUUUUUUCCAAGUAGGCGAUCCACUUGUCUGCAAGAACAACUUUUGCUUGGUAUGGACAUAAUUUAUUCUCUGAGUAGGUGCAUGUGCAUUGGCAUUUGGAAUCUGUUGAUAAAAUUAAUCUUUAUGCACUGUGAUAUACUUGGUUAAAAUUUUAAGAUAUUGAGAUUUUGUGUUAUCUUGUGUAUAAAAUAACUAAAUUACCUCAUGUACUGCGCUUUUUUCUCUCUCUCUCUCUCUCUCUCUCACUCUUUUAAUUUCCUCAAUUGUCUUGAUUUUACAGAACUACUCCUCAGUUAUGACUGUCCAUCCAGAGGUUAUUGAUGGAAGGCCAGGGACGUUAGUCAUAGAGUCAUUUAUUGUGGAUGUACCUGAUGGCAACACCAAAGAUGAUACAUGCUAUUUCGUGCAGGCCCUCAUUAAAUGCAAUCUCAAAUCUUUGGCUGAUGUCUGCGAGAGGAUGGCUGUGCAGGACAGGGUUGAACCAAUUGACCGAUUCUGAACUGUGUGCAAUGAAGCGUAUUAGGAUGGCUGUGGAAUUUGAGGUUCUAAUUCCAGAGGCUUUGUAGAGAGAUUGGUGGGAGUAGUUUUCCUAUUUCCAGAAAGUUUUGCAUGCAGUGCUGGAUUUCCCUUUUUCACCUGAUAAAUAACCUUUCUACCUGCUUUGGCUUUGUUUGCUUGGUCCCUCAACAUUGAAGGUGGGGUUUCUCCUGUUUUAGCAAUUAGGUUCUUAGACAAUUUUCCUUGAACUUCCUAUGAAUGUGAAAGAAUCACUUCUUUUUCACCGUUGCUUUUACUAGUUUUAUUGUGGUAUGUAAAUUACUAUGCUCAUAUCUGUAAAUAUCUUUGUAACAAAGUUGUUGCUUUAUCAAAGUUGCAACUUCCACGUGCAGGGAUUUCUGGCUAAAAACUUCCAAGUAGCAGCAUUUUGUUGUUUUUAAUUACUGGUGUCUCUUUCUCAGCGAACUAAUUAUAUUUAAAAUGCUUCCCCUUGAACAGAUUUUAUGUGUGCUUCCAAUUAUCCGUUCAAGCAUUCAAGAACAAAAAUUGCUGUAAUUCCAACUGUUGCAUUUGCCCCUUUUAGAUUAAUUUAUGCCUAUAAAUUUAGCUAAAUAAGUACGCCAAAAACAGACGGACAGGCAGGCCCAGGGUACGUUAGGGAAAAGACAAGUCGCAUGGAAUCUGGUAAGUGUGAGGUGUCUAGAAAUCUUACCGGUGUGAGACAAUGACAUUUUUUCUAUCCUGGAUGGAAAACAUGAUGUGUAAUGAUAAGUUCGAAACUGAAGGAGAUGGUGACAAUUUUUUUUUUGAGUCUGACAAAUAAUUAUUUAGUUUACAGUAACUUCAACCAUUUAUUCGAGUUAAAUAGAUUUUAUUGAAUUGAUAUUUUUCAAGGGUUUGAAAUUGAACAAAUGUGCAAGUACAAUGGGAGAGGUACCGAGAAAAGCUGCUGCUUCUUCUAGAUUCGAUUGAAUUGAGUGUUACAUAGUUUCAUACAGACGUGAAGGUUUUGAGGCGUUGCAGGUUUCGGUCUUGGCUUAAAGUGAAACCAAAGAAUUGAUUAAAUCUAGAACAUCUUUCUUGCUUCUGCACUUUGUAGAUUUUAAAUGGGCUUAAGGUCACCGAACUCGGGACUUCAGGGUUUACGAAAUGAUAGAUCGUCCCUUUGGGAUUUUAAAUCAAACAAACGACUACCGGCUACUUGUGCAAGUGACAGAAAUUUUAAAACCACUGGUCGUUUUUAUUCAAUUUGAGAACUCUUUAAACGUGUAAUGGAACGACCAGCCGAGCAUUUCACAGGCAAGCUUUUCCAAUUAUCAAACAAGGAACGGCAAAAUAUUCUGGUUAGUUCCUUCCGACUUUUCUCCUCCUCGACAUCGAGCACGGACAUAACAGUCUGCAAUUUUCCAACCCCUCUUACAGUCUUUCUUUUCUGUGUUAGUGUAGUGAGUUUUUUUUUUUUUUUUUUUUUUUUUUUUUUUUUUUUUUUUUUUUUUUUUAAAUUGUGUCAUGGUAGAAUCGAUAUGAUUACUCCUCCUGCUAAUUCUGCUUGCUCAAAUCAGGUAUUGAUUAUUGUUUAAGAAGAAAAGGAAAAAUAUGGUGUAUAGUCAUUUUAUGUGUAACAAAUGGCCAAAUGCUAUUACCAGAAGUCAUUGCAAGAACACUUUCCAGCUUUGAAAUGAUGAAACCGAGCACCAUCUUUGAGGAAAAUCUCAACUCUCCGCGCCAGCGAAAUGAAUUUUGCUGCUGUAUGGCAAUCAGAACAAAUUCUUGAAUUCUUUAUCACUCUGAUUGGCGCACCAUUUCUUGUCUUGAUGAGUCCGUAAGUAAUGGCCAGUUUUUCCGUGUGACUUAGAAGAGCCUUCUCCUUUUCUUCAUCAUCAAUGUUCUGAUAUACACAGUUAAUGUCAGGCACAUACCCAAGUUUUUUCAUUUCAGAAACUAAGUGGUACAACUCAAAAUAUAUCUCCCCUUCAUCUUGAUGGGGUUUUCCCUCAGCAGAGAACACAUGAACAGUGUUCCCAAUUUGUAUCCAGCUCCAUACUUGCCGAUUUUUCACCCCUUUUUCGCACAUGAGACUUGUGAUACGCUCUACUCCCUCCCACCUCUUUGACAUGGCAUGUAAGUUCAUCAGAAGAACAUAAUUAGCAGAAUUAUAUGGUUCUAACUUGAAAAGUUCCUUAGCUGCUAUAUCUGCAAACUCCAAGUUUGCAUGGAUUCUGCAGGAUCCAAGAAAAGCACCCCAGAUAGUUGCAUCUGGCUUAAAUGGCAUUGUUUGAAUGAAAUCCCAGGCUUCAUCGAGAUAGCCGGCUCUUCCAAGAAGAUCUACCAUACACGAGUAAUGCUCAAUUGUUGGCUUUAUACCAUAAUCUUUGCUCAUACUAUCGAAGUAAUUCCAUCCUUCAUCAACUAGACCUGAAUUCUUGCAUGCAGAUAGCACCGCAGUGAAGGUUAUAGAAUCUGGUAAGAUACCUGCUCCGAGAAUUUCACGAAAAAGUGAAAUUGCCUCCCUUCCAAGGCCAUAAAUAGCGAAUCCCAUGACCAUGCAAUUCCAACAUGCUAAUGUUCUGUUCUUAGUCCGCCUGAAAACUUCAAUGGCACUCUUUAAGUCGCCUGACUUACUAUACAUGUCAAUGAGGGCCGUGGCUGUAUAUACAUCUUCAAUGAACCCACGUUUUGCACUGAAGCAGUGAAUUUCUUUACCUUUCUGUAAGAGAGAAAGCCCUCCACAGCUUCUGAGUAAGCUAGAUACAGUGGCAGAAUUUGGCUUAACUCUAUCUUGUUGCAUUUGGACGAAAUACUCUAAGGAUUCCCUGUAUUUACCCUUCUGCGAGCAGCCUGAUAUGAGAGCAGUCCAUGAAACUACAUUUGGAGUUAAUCCUGAAUUUCUGAUAUCAUGAAUCACGGCCAAAGCUUCCUCACUGUGACCCCACAUUGAGUACCCAGAGAUUAGGCCAUUCCAUGUAACUAAAUCUGGUAUGAUUCCUUCCUCUUCCAUAUUACUCAACAGUCUUUUAGCAUCAUCAAAAAGGCCCUUGUAUGCAUAUCCUGUAAUUAACGAGUUCCAAGCGAUGAUAUUCUUGUUCUUCAUAUUAUCGAAAAUUGCCUGAGAAAUUGUUAAACAGUUAUUCUUCAAAUACAUGUCUAACAACGAAGUUCCAACAUAUACAUCAUAGUCAAGUCCAUUUCUCAUCACAUAGCCAUGGAUUUCUUUUCCGAAUUUCAAGAGCCUCAAUUCAGCGACAGCUUGAAGAACACUCGUAACAGAACCUGAAUUUGGUCUAAAACCAGCAACUUGCAGUUUGCGUAAUAUUGUGAGGACUUCAUUAUACGAACCAUGGACAACAUGGCCUGAUAAUAGGCAAUUCCAGGUUAUUAUGUCAGGUUUUACACUAGAUGAUUCCAUCUUACGGAAAAGAUUCCAAGCAUCAUUUAAGUAACCUAGUGCAGAAUAGCUUGUUAUAAUUGAAUUCCAAGAAGACAAGUUGUGAUCUUUCAUUGAAUCAAAAACUUUUCUAGCUGGUUUAAUUUUGCCAUUUCUUGAGUACAUGCUAAUCAAGGAAUUGCAUAUCGAUAAGGUUGAUUCCAAAGCAAGUUUUAUAACAUACCCAUGAAUCUGCUUCCCUUCAUUGAGGGCUCUCUCCUUUCCACAGGCUUGUAGCAUCUUCACAAGUGUAAUACCAUUGGCUUUUGCAGAUGAAAAUUGCAUUUCUGUAAACAGUUCUAGAGCCUUAAAAUAUCUAUCAUUUUUGAGGUUGACAAUAAUCGUCUCGUUCCACAAGAGAUCAUCCCGAUUUGGCAUUUCAUAAAAUACAUGAUUGGCACUGUCAACACUCCAACAUUUAUCAUAAUAAUUCAAUAGUGCAAUCUUAACAUAUGUAUCCAAUUCGAAGCCUCUUUUGAUCAGAGUAGAAUGGACUUCCAAACCUAGCCACAUAUCCCUUCCUCUAGUGCAAAUUUUCAAAAUAACAGUAAACAUCCUACUAUCAAAGAUUACUCCUUUAUAAUGUAAUUCUUUAAAAACCUGGAGAAGUUCAAUUAGAUCACCACCAUAACUCUCAAAAUCCUCCAAGAAAGAAUUCCACAUAGUAUAAUUCCUUGCAAAACCUACAAAGAAUACCAUUACAGCGGACCUAAAAUCACCAACUUCCAAAUAAGAAGUGAUCAAAGUUUUCACCUUGGAAUCAGAUUUCCAAUUGUUGCACUUCUUUAUUAUCUGCGCAUGCAUUGCUUUAACUGAAGCUGGAGAUCUGACAUCACUUAUACUAUCUAAGAAUCGAAUAUUUGGAAAAUGGAUCUGCGAUUGAGGUGAUGGUGAGAUAAAGGGUGGAGUGGUUUCAGACGAAGUAGAAGUGGGGGUGACUGAAAGAGAAGCUGGUGAAUGGGUUCUUGGUUUAUGCUUGUGGGUUAGCCGGUUUUGGUUCAGUGGAGGGUUAUGGUGGCGAUGAUACGGAGAGAGCUUGUCCAUGGCGAUUGAAGUUAAUGUCGCGGAAGUGAUGAAAGAGGAAAGAGCCGUUAAAACUGUUAAUACAGAAUGGAACACGGACAUUGACGCUUGGAUAUCUUUAUUUUUGUUGAUAAGAUCUUCUUAUCUUCUUACACGUUGGAUUUUGGAGCCCGCCAGCUAAACGCACCGUAUCAGUUGUUCCAGAGUUCAAAACGACGGAAAGUUUUUUCCCCCAAAUUUAAUGGUAAGGAAACGUUACCCAAUCGUACUGACGGGAAAGCUCUCCGUCGUCUAUAACCGGCUUAGGAGUAUUCAUAAUUUCAUAGACUCCCGAAACUGUUCACAUUGUAAAUUCAAAUCAAUCCAAGCCGAUACAAAUCAUGAUUUUAAAAAAUUGUUCAAUUGAUUAUUUUGAAAAUAAAAUUAUCAAAUUUAAUUAUUAUAAGUUUCAUUUAUGUAAAUCUGUUGAAUUUAACUAAAUCGAACUAUGAGCACUCUGCCAUGAAUUUUAGAGUCGCAUCAACUAUCCCAUCGGUUGUUGAGUCAAAUCACAAACCAUAGAACCAAGAAGUAGGAACCCUCUAUUACUCACUUCUCUUCGAUUUCCAUGUAUGAAGAUUGUCAAUAGUAGAGGUAUUUAAGAAAUUUCCCGUCUAAGCGAUUUCAGUUGAUCUAAAACCACAAUUUUGAAAAAUUGAUAAUUUAAUUUGAUUUAGACAACAUAAACAAUUAGAAAUCAACGUCCUAUAAUUCCAUCAUCUAAUCUUACAUCCUCAAAUGUCUUGUUGGAUCAUUGUAGACAAUUCGACAGGUAAUUGGCAUAUUGAUAACUGAAUCUAUUGUCUAACAAAUAAUAACUAGAUGAAUGACUGUAAUUCACAAAUAAUUUAUUCCUUCUACAAAUUAAUUUUUCGAUGAAACAAUUCUCUUUUUAAAAUUAAAAAAUGAUGAAUUGGUUUUUCAAAAAAAAAAAAAAAAAGCAUAAAUAAUCCUAUUUACUUGCCCUUCAACAAUACAGCUUGCAGCAUUUUUUUUUUUUCUUUUUUUUGAGAGAGGGAUAGGCAAUAAUGUUGAAGUUGAAGAUAAUCAUGACAACUAUUAUCCACUCUCCCUCUAGACCUCGAGCCUGGGAUUUUACCACAGAUGGCUUGAAGCCUUGAGGGAGAGUGAACAAUGGCUGCCACUCUCCGGUCCUUUGUUAGCAAGACAUAGUCAGUUCAACCCCAAAGGCUCCCAGAUUGCUUCAAAGCUAACCCUACAAGAAACGGCAAAUCGGAAGCCCUUGAGGGAGGUGAAAAACCAAGACCUUGAAGAUCUAAAGUAGAACUAUGCCUUCUUGUAAUUCUGAUUCAAUCAAGCAAGAGCUAAAGGCCUAUUUAUAGGCCUCAAAAGCCUCACUUUGCUAAAGGACCCUAACCAGUCUUAAAAUUGUGUGGUUGUGUUUGUGAGAGAGUGAGCUAGGAAUGGUGGGACCUCCAUACCUCUGGCACUUGAUAAGACCGGCAUAAAAUAUAUCCUACAGGCAUCCCAACCAUGUCCACAGAGGUGUUCCAAACUCAAAUGGAUGUAAAGAAUCAGACACAAGCCAUUGCAAUAUCUCAUCAAGUCCAAUCAAGAACAAUUCCUAAUUCCAAUAUCCAGCAGAACAUAUCAGCUAUUGAUUCUCAGAUUAAUGUAUAUCAUAAAUAAUUCUAGGAAUCAGAUUCACUGUGUAAUAGAACAAACAGCAUUGGACUCAAAGGGCAUCAGAGAAAUGAAGGAAAGAAGUCUCUAUCCAGCGACAGAAAGAAUCUUUUUAUGAUUUCAUAUCAUCAUUAAAGUUUUGAAAGGGAAAUUAAAUUAUGCAUUUGUUAAUAGUCUUUAUACAAACACAGCACAUAAUGAAGCAUUCAUCCGCUAAAAUCAUCAUCCAAGCUCGCUUUCAGCAACAUUGAGAGCGGAUCACAUUCUAGUAGCAUUUGCAGAUGAUCCGGCAAGACAAUUCGUUCAUAACAAAGGAAAUGGUCUAUUAUGUUUCAGAAUGGACGUGAAAUUCUUAAUAGCAUUUAAUGUGAACCUUCAUUCGAUAAAUAUGAAUUGAUAAACAGCGUGCCCUGCAAAGAAUUGAUCAGAGAGGGAAAAAAAAGUGAGCAAGAGUUGCCUUUAGUUCAUUUAAUAAAACCAGCAACGAUGUUGGCAAUGAAAAACCUUUAUGUGAUUGUGUCUCAGGGUGCCUAUGGAGUGUCUUGCCUUUCAUUAGAAAGUUUGACAAUUCCAUCCAUGUCUACAUUUGCAACAAUUUCCUAAAUACAUUGUUCACAAACAUGUGUUGAGGCCUUACAAUAUUGCAGGAUGCUAUAGUUAAGUAGUCAAGUACAUCUUUCUCCCCUGAAAAUCUAUCUAUUAUGACCACCGGCCUAACGGUAGGCAACCUCUUGGAGCUAUAUCUUUGGACUAGGAUAGGGCCCUCAAUGCGUAAAGCAGAUUUGCAUCUCAUUCACCAACGUUCUCUUGGCCGGCCAUCUGGAAAAGCAGGUUCUGGCACCUUCUCUUCAUUCUUUGUUGACUUAUCUGAGUGGUUAAUUGAUUUGCUCAGAUGAAUUUUCACAUUUUCGUCAAAAUCUGGAGGUGUAUCAUCAUCUUCAUCACUCCAAUCGUCUUCAUAGUCAUUACCAUCAUCAUCGUCGUCGUCAUCAAGUCCAUCGCCAGCCAUGUAACUGUCAAUAUCAGACCAAUCUUCAACCUCCUCACCACUUCCAUCUUCUAGCUCAUCAGUACCAUUUUCUCUCUCAGCACCCCUGCUGGGAGCACCGUUGCUGGGAGCACCCCGCCUUGGAAAUCUAGGAACAUUAACAAGAGCACGAAACUUCUCUUUGAUAAGUAACAGGCGGUCUUUGUCAACCAAAUGAGAAUCACGAUAUGCUUCCCUGAGGAAAACUGAAUCCCUAUCACCCUUCAAGGACACGUAGAACAUAUCAGGGUGCCUUAUUAGCAUCCCCCUCACCUGCUGAGAGAAUCUGAACUCCUCUCGAAAAUGAGUAAGGUGAUCCACAAGGGUUCGCUUCUCAACAGUGAGACUCAAAAUCUCAUGCACAACCCCACAAGCAUGUUUUUCCUUCUCCGGUGUACCUGACCUCAAAUGGGAAAAAUCUGAAUAAGGAGAUAUGUAAGGCAUAUCUCUGAACUUAGAAAUAUUUCUCAUUUCACUCUUAGAAAGCUGUAAACCCUUGGGCAACUUCACCCUAUUGAAUUUUGGUGGUCUAUCAAUGAUGAGAUCUCUUUCUUCCAGUUCUCUAGCUCUGUUCUCCUCUUCUGAUAAUUCAGCAGCAGAUACUGCAAGCUCAGGAUCCCAAUGAGUUAAUUCUAGUGCAGGCCCCCUUUCAGUUGCAACAACUCUAAAAUAUUGUGGGUAUCUAUGACAUAUUGUGUCACGAAACUCUGUUGGUAAUCCAAAGUCCGUCUUCAAAUGGGCUAUUUUCUCCAACAAAAUCCGUUUCUCCAAUGACAUCAUCAAUAAUUUUCUUAGCUUAACAACCAGCAAAUCUUCCAUCUCAUUCCUAACUUUCAACUCCUCAAGGUAGAGUCUUUCUGCCUCAGGUGUCAGUUUGAAUUUCAAUGAAAAAGCCCCUUCUUGCACAAUAUCAAACACAGCAGGGAAUUUCUUCAACAAAGCAAUAAAUCGACGCUGUUUCUUAACACCCAAUUCUCUUCUGAACCUACCCAAUUGCCUAAGUUCCAUAAUUCUAUCAGGUUGAUUCACAAGAAUCUUCCUUAUCUUCAAUACUAAUUUAAGCUUCUUGUCCCUUUGAAUCACGUUAUCAAAGGGAAGUUCUUUUCGUCUCUUCACAACAGCUCUCACUGGUUGAAAAGGGACAUGGGUUUUUCUCAGGGUUCUACCAAAGGGACCAAUUUUCUCUUGAAAAACCAAACUUUUGCCCCAGAAGUGUGACCGUUCUAUUGUCGAAUUAGAUAAAUGGGAUUUAACUGAGAAGUUGGGUCUCUCAAGAAACUUAGAAUUGUAUGAGACGAAGAAAGGUAAAGAAUUAAAUGGUAAGGCAUUGGAAGAGGACAGCAAAAAUUUGAGUUCCAUGUUGAAGGACUAGAAAUGGAUAAAGAUUACAGUUGUAGUAAUACAGGCAACCAAGUAAUAGAAUCUAACAGAGAGUUGUAAGAGAAAUAAAAAAAGAAGAACAACUACCUGAUUUGAGGUGGAUGCUGAGGCUGGUGGUAGGGUUUUGGAUGGGCGACCUGAUUCUGGGUUUACCUGAAAGGGCAAAAACCCUUUGGCACAGAUAUUUUGCCUGUCUCUGAUUCUUCUCACUUGAAUACUUUCGUGGGACUUGAUGUUAAGAAACGUAGGGCUAGAACUGUCAUAAUGAAAGAAUGAUACGGGAGCGUUUCUUUUUGCACUAAUGCAAAUGACGGGUAUUUACGCAUUUCUGAGAUGUCCACAAGAUGCACGACCUGUCGUUCAUCAGCAUGUCACGCACUAUAUGGGCCUCACUGGCUUAGUGGGUUUUACGUACUUUUCUAAAGGAGUCCGCAGCCAGCACCAAUCACCAUCGAUCGUUCGAAACGCGUCAUUGGCUCUAGUUGAGCCAUAACGUCAGAGUCGUUUAAGUAACUAUGCAGGACGAACUUGCCUUUUGAAUGUUGACUAGCUGAAAGUGGCAUGUCGUUUGAUUGAAACCUCAGCAUCUGAUAUCCUCUCCUCCUGUUAGGAAAAAAAUCCUUUCGCCUGAUUGACUGAUUUGGCAGGCUUUGAUUUGAGGAUUGCUGUACUGCCGCUGGCGCCGUCCUCUCUUUAUUUUCCUCAACGGAAAUAACUCGUUAACUCAGCAGUGACUCGGCAGCAGUACAAAUGGCGAAGAGGCGAAACCGCCGAGGGGUACAGAGUUCCGAUCGCAGUCAAGCACACGUCGACAUAUCCACUCAAGUGGACCAGUUCGGUGAGUCAGCAGCUUCUGAUCGCAAGCUCUUCACCAUUUUCGUCGUCUUCUUCAUCGUAAUUCCUGCUCUCUCCGUACUCGUAUAUCGUAUCAAAUACGCUCCAAAUACGUACAGUAUGAAUACACAUACACACCAACAAAGCCUCGUUAAAAUUGAUGUGAAUUACCAAGAAAUCCUCAGUGUAAGAAUUUCUUUCCUUAGUCACUACAAUACUGUGUUAAGAUUGGACCUUGACGGUCAAAUUCGUCCUUAAAAGCAAAACGUUUCAGUUUCUGAAAUAUUUCAGGAGAAUUCAAAGGUUUCAAAGAAUGAAGCACAGCGGCAGUAUAAUUUUCCUACAUUAGCAUACAUUACUCCAUGGUAAGUCUUCUCUAAUUGAAGCUUAAUUAAUUGCAAAAUGCAGUAUAAAACUCUGUAGUUACAUGCGUUGAUGACGAUGAGGCAUGAAUUAUACUAAACUGUGUAGGAAUUCUAAGGGCUAUGAAAUGGCAAAGAAGUUUACCAAUAAGUUUACCCACUUAUCACCUGUCUGGUAUGAUUUGAAGAGGUAAGUUUUGGGGUACCUAAUUGUUCAUGAAAUUUGUGUCAAAUUUGAAGCUAGCAACUGACAAAUUAUGAACUGCUUUAUUCUUUGUGUGUCCAGCCAAGGUAAUGGCUUAGUUCUGGAUGGAAGACAUAAUGCUGAUCAAGGAUGGCUCUCGGCGCUCAGAAGGAAAGGAGAUUCUCUGGUAAGGCUAUGUAGUUCUCUUCUUUGUUACGGGAAGUAGUUAGUUAGAUUGCGGCUUUGGUAAGUACGUGAAGCAAAUGCUGCCGAAUUGUAUGGAAACAUUUUAUCUUGUAAGGAAGUUUCUAAUACUUGGACUCGGUCUUUGAUAACUUUGGAGUAAAGCUUCCGAAAUUAAGGGUUUAGACGUCAAAGCCAGUGAAGAAUUUGUUUGCACCUUGAAUGGCAUUGGUGGGGUUGCUCAUGGGGCUUUCUUUUUUCAUCCUAAUAAUUGGAAUGUUGUCUUAUUUCAUUAUUUAUCUUGUAUAAAUCUAUAGAUUUCUUAUAAUGUCGAAUUAGCUUUUUGGUUGUAGGUUUUACCUAGAAUCGUUCUGGAAGCAUUUCCAAUGGAGAUACUUACGAGGAAGAAACUGAAAGAUAAAGCUAUUCAGCUUAUAGUAUCAGAGUGCAUGUAAGCUCCCACAUAUUUCAUGUUAUUACUGUUGAAACAAGACCAUGUCGUAGGACUAUUAUUCAUCAGGUAGAUGUUAGAAUAUCAUACUUAGGUUUUUGUAACUAUACGCUAAACACGUCUUGUUUACUUUAUUUAUCUUUGUCUAGCUUUCAUAUGAAGUUUAUGAUAAUCGAAAACAAAUUUACCAUUUAUUGUGAUAUAUUUAUGGGAGGAGGAAGUGAAGUUUGUGCAAUUUCCUUGCCCACAGACACACUGACGCAGGACUAACAAAUGAAAAAUACCAAGUAAUACAACUCUAGGAAUUGGACUGUAACUCUUAUUUUACAGUACUGCAUAUUUUGGUUUAAAAUUCAGAUUAAUAUUUGAUCCUUCUACCUUGGUGUCAGGAUAGUUCGGUUCCUCAAAACUAUCCCUCUUUUUUCUUUUUUCUUUUUUUUUUUUUUAAAAAAGAAAACUUUUGCUGCUCAAACUAUCCCUCUUGUAGCAGGGUUCUCCAUAAUUGGUCUUCUUUCCUAAAACUAGUAUUGGUCAAUCUUGCAUAACAAUAAACUAAGUUCUUGAAUCAGGACGCCUACAGGCUGGUGUGGAAUAAUCAUUGAAGGUGUUUCAAUUUUAUUCAAUAAAGGCUCUCAUCUCAAUGUUGUCUAAUUUACGUCAUGAACUGACAUUAUCAACUCGUCUAUAUUAUGAACCUUCAAUGUUAGAACUUUCUGGAGUCUCUGCUUUUUCUAGUCCAGGUUUCUGGUCUUGCAUAUGAGUCUUUGCUUUUUUAUUCUCCUUUAUGAGUAGGGAAAUGGAAUAUGAUGGCAUUGUGCUGGAGUCCUGGUCCAGGUGGGCAGCUUAUGGUGUUUUGCUUGAUCCAGAUAUGCGGAAUAAGGUAAUUAUUGACUUCUAUUUGCUACCAUGAUGAUAAUAUAUUUCUGCGAGGAUCUAAAUUUCAUAAUGUUAAAUAUAAACUGGAGACCUUUUAUUUAGUUAGCCGCUAUAUUAUGAAUUGUAGGUCUUAUUUGUAAAUUGAGAUGAUAAAUGAAAAGCAGUUCUCUUUAUAAUGUACUGGACUCUCUGGUUUUUAUGCUUGAUACAUGGUCUAAAGGUUAAUAUAUCCAAGGUAGCUGCCCAGACAUGUAAAAUUUUCCCCUUCAUAUAUGCUAGUGUGUGAUAUCCAGGUGUUCACUAGAAGAUGGAGAUAUGAAAAUUGUCUGUACUUUUAAAAAUUGUGGUUUUUACGAAAUCUUAUUGGUUUGCAAGCGUAGGCCCUGCAGUUCAUAAAACAACUUGGUUAUGCACUGCACUCUGUGAUCUCUGCAAGGAACAAUGACCAACCUUUACAGUUGGUGUACGUUAUAGGUCCACCACAAUUGGAGAAGCGUCAAGUACAUGACUUUGGUCCCAAGGAUCUUCAAAGCUUGAAUGACGCUGUAGAUGGUUUCUCACUUAUGACCUAUGACUUCUCAAGUCCUCAUAAUCCUGGUCCAAAUGCACCUUUGAAGUGGAUCAGAUUCACCUUGCAACUGCUUCUUGGUGACACUGGCAGUAGUGCCCGGACCCUAGCCAAUAAGAUAUUUGUUGGCAUCAACUUCUACGGAAAUGAUUUCCUCCUUUCUCGAGGUACUUUUUGGAGUUUGUUCUUGAAUCUUUGUUAUGCCCAUUAAUAGCCUGUUGGUGAUUCACCUGGAGAAACCUGAGUCUGACUUCCAUAAGUUUGGACAAGAGAGCAAUAAGCAUUUAACUGGUGACCCAAUCAGGGUGAUUUCAAUUUUAAAAUUAUAAAAUUAACCUUUGAUACUUUCGAGUAAAUAUUUUCACUUCAAGAUCUCCAGUUUGAUCACUAUUGGCAUUCAAAAGCAAUUUUUAAAUUGGUCAUAGACCCUGCAGGUUCUGGUGGUGGAGCUAUCAUUGGGAGGGAUUACCUCUAUCUACUGGAGAAGCAGAGGCCUAAUUUGGAAUGGGAGAAAGACAGCGGGGAGCAUUUUUUCCUAUACGUUGAUGACGAGGAUAAAAAGCAUGCAGUGUUCUACCCAUCGCUAAUGUCAAUUUAUCUGCGGUUAGAGGAAGCUCGUUUAUGGGGAACUGGUAUCUCAGUUUGGGAAAUUGGGCAAGGUCUGGAUUACUUUUUUGAUCUAUUGUGAGCAGCAAUGCUUUUUUCGUCAAGGAAAAGAAGGAACCUUUUAUUUUAUUCAUUCAUUUACAUUUGCUUUUGCAUAUGCAUGUACUGUAGGAAUUUUUUAUCUUCUUCAAGUGUCAAAUAUUUUGGUAAGUUCAGAUUCAGUUGAUGGACUUUGUUGGCCAGCGGCCAAGAUCUCCACUCUAUGCAAUUCUUGGUUUGGUGGUUCAUUUUCAACUGUUGCUUGACCAUAUAUUUGAUUCUAGAGGGAUACUAUUAACAGGCUUUUUUUUUUUAAAAAAAAAAAAAAAAAUUGGAACUGAAUAUUCAUAGUUUAAUGGCUUAUAAUCAAUCUAUGAUUUUUCUCUGAUACACAACUAUGUUUGAUGCGGAUGCGGUAGCCUGCAUGCUACUGUGCCUGAUAUGCUAGCCUAAAUUUAUGAUUGUUAACAGCCGAUCUCCAGUCUUCCAUUAGAUUGUAAGAGCCGCUUCUAAUGGUGUGUUCUAGGCUUCCGUGUCGGGGAAUUUCCGAUGAAUUCUAAAACCGGUAAUUAAAUCUUAUAACUUAAAAACAAUGGUUUUCCAUCAAUUCAGUAUCAGCAAAUUAAUGGUGAAUGAUUUAUUUAUGUAUUUUUGGUUUGUUCGUUAUGAUGAUCAGAACUUCAGAAUUUUAUUUCAUCGACUAGCAAGUGGACAUUUGGUACUGCGAAAUUGUGGAUUUAUGUACUAUAGCCUCAGAAGAGUUUGGUUGCAUUUCUCAGCCACACAAUCUUCACACGCGUAAGUGAUCAAGCCAUCUAAAACCCAGAUGAUCACCGACUCUCAUCCACUUCCACGUGUCAAACAAUGAGUGGAAAACUUAAUAAUCUCCCCUGCCACGUCAACUCCUCCCUCCACUAAAAGUAUACCAGUAAAUUACACUCAUUGAAGCUAAGGGUUGUCAUCCUCUGCUUCCUUUCAGUCCAGUCAUCCUAAAACCAACAAAAAUCUGCAAUAAAAUCUCAUUCCUCAUGUAGGUUCAAGCCUUUGCACAAUUUCUUUCAUAAGAAAGGCCAAAAUUUUGUCUGUGUUAGUAUUAUGCCAUGGAGGCCCUCAAUGCAGCAAACUUGACCCCAAUAUCUGUUCUUUGUGAAAAAAGAGCAGAACCCAGAAAAUUUUUGUGCCUUCCUACCACUUCACCACUCAAAUUUUCAAGCUCUGCUUCUAUAAGCACAAACCCACCUACAAUACAAGAGUGUUUAUCAAGGACUUUUCAUGGGAGUCUAGUGCUCUUAUCUUCAGUUCUCAGUACUGGGCUAGCUAAAGCUUUAACAUACGAGGAAGCACUAGAACAGUCAUUGAGCAGUCCUACAUCAGAUUUUGAUUCCAGUGGAGUUCUUGAUAGUGUUAUCAGUUUUGCAACUGAAAACCCUACCAUUAUAGCUGGUAGUGUUGCAGUUUUGGCAGUUCCAUUGAUUGUAUCUCAAAUUCUAAAGAAACCCAAGUCAUGGGGUGUUGAGUCUGCGAAAAAGGCUUAUGCAGUAUUGGGUGAUGAUGCAAAUGCUCAAUUACUUGAUAUUAGAGCGCCAGUGGAGUUCAGGAAAGUGGGUACUCCCGAUAUCAGAGGUUUCAAAAAGAAGCCUGUGUCAAUUUUUUACCAGGGUGAGGAUAAGCCAGGUUUCUUGAAGAAGCUGUCUUUGAAGUUCAAGGAACCGGAGAAUACUACAUUAUUCAUUCUCGAUAAGUAAGAUUCUGAAACCAUUUGUUGUUUUCUGUUAUUCAGAUUUCAUUUCACGAUCACAAGUUAGUUAGGGAGAGCUUUUAUAGAAAUUUUAAAUUAGACCAUUAGAUUGUGCUUCAUGAAAUUUAUCUCUUGAUGCACUGAUUUCAGGAUUAUAUCAAGAAUUGGAUAUCCGUAAUAAUAAAAUUAGUGUAUUUAAAAGAUUUUGGCUUUCUUUCUUUUGUUUUUUAUCUUUUCAAGGAUUAUAACUGUUGCCUUGACGACAGAAAUAAUUGCAGAAUAGAAAAAAUUUGGAGGUUUAAAAUAUUCAACCAACUAUUCAGACACCAUUACGUAAUAUAAGAUUAGACUGCAUAAUCUUUGGGGGGCUGAGAGAGGUUGACACAUGAAAACUUUUUUUAUCUUGUAGCCCUCUAUUUCUUUUUCUCUUUUGCGUGUAUGUAUGACCGCGCCACAUACCAGUAUUUGUGGCGAUGCAGAUAUGAAAAAAGUUCCCUUUAUGAUUUCCUCACAUAGAAAAAAAUAUCUAAUUAGAGUUUCUGCUUGGUUGUUUGUGAUUAAAGUUACCAUAUUAAACUAUUGUAGCAAAAUUUAUGAUGAAAGCCAGAUUUGAUGGGAACUCUGAACUGGUUGCUGAGUUGGCUGCUGUAAAUGGAUUUAAAGCUGCUUAUGCCAUAAAAGACGGAGCAGAAGGACCCCGAGGAUGGCUGGUACUUUCUGGUGUUUUAUUUCUGUUCUUUUUUCUUUUUUUUUUUUUUUUUUAAUAUUUUGGUGUCCAAGUUCAUUUGUCAUUUGACAUGAGAAGCAAAUAGUAACUUUCAGAUGGACUUUCAUUUUGCAGAAUAGUAGUCUUCCUUGGAUACCACCAAGUAAGGGAUUGAGUCUGGACCUUAGCAAUUUCUCACUUGGAGUAUGUGCCUUAAUGCCUUCUCUAUUUAUCUUUUGGCUGUAAAAUUUUAACUUUGUUACGCCAGUUAAUGCCUUCUCUAUUUAUCUUUUGCCAUCAAAAUGAUAAAUGAUAUUUAUAUAUGUUGAUACAAUAAACAUUAAACAGCAUCGAAUGUGGUUUAUGGAGUAUUAAAAAAAAAACCCGAUGUGUGCAUUUGAUCUUUUCUGGUGAUAGGACCUUCCUUAUGUUGAUUAUAUCAACAUGAAAAUGUCAAUAUAAAUGAGCAGUAAAAAAGAUUGGGGCGGACGGGGGAGUGCUUAAAUAACUUGAUUGGACCACUACAUACGAGAUGCCAAACGUAGAUUCAUUGUAAAGACCAACGUUCAUCCUCAAAAAAAAGAAAAAAAAAAAAAAAGGUUUGGCGGAUUUGCUUCAAGCUAGAGGAAUGAUAAAGGCAAUGGAAUGCCUCUGAGGAUGUCACUUUCAUGUCUGUAUAAUCAACAUAAUGAAGGUCCUGUAAUGAGAGACAAAUGUGAUUAUUAUCUUCUUGUUUUAGUGUAAAAUCCGGAGUAGCUAGAUCAAGCAAUAUAUCUUCUAGAGGAAUGUAUUAAUUCCCUGUUGAAUUCCUGGGCUCCUUAGUUUUUCCAUCAAAUCAAUAUGAGAUGAAGCAUAACUGUUAAUAAAUCAUUAUACAUAGUUACUGCAAAGCAUCAGGAACUGUCAUUUUGAAGAUCUUCUUUAGUAUAACAACAACAACAACAAAGCCUAAAUCCAAAACUAGUUGGGUCAGCUAUAUAAAUCCUUAUUUUUAUCAAUAUUUGCUAAAAGUAUAUGAUAAUUUAGUUAUACAACUGGUAAAUUACUUGUACUGGAUUUCUUUCUUUCUUUUGUUCCUUUAUAGGAGAUACAUUGAUUUUGUAGAUUGGCCACCUUCCGUGGAACAUUUUAUAAUUGAUAGCUUCUGUAUGCUAAUACAGAAAAAUUUUUGCAGGACGACUCUGGCACGCUGCCUGUCGCUGUUGGGAUAGCAGCAGCUGUUGGCUUAGGUGUAUUAGCAUUCUCAGAGGUUGGCUUGUAAAGUAUUUUCUUCAUUUCUUUUCUUAUGAUCAAUGAAGGGAAUUUGUGAUAGUAGAUGCAAGAUUUCAGUUUUUUCUACAUGUUUCCAGAUAGAAACAAUACUUCAAGUAUUAGGCUCGGCGGCAAUUGUCCAGUUUGCAAGUAAGAAACUCCUGUUUGCAGAGGUAGGUCUUUGGCACCUUUCUGAACUCUAGUUAUUUCCGUAAGUUCUGUUGCCUUGAAGAAAAUUGUCAUGUAACAUACAGUUCUGAAGCCCGGUUGGAUUGGAAUUGAACUUUUUUCAUCGAAUGUGCGCUAGGUUGUGUUAAAUUUUAGUGGCUAACUCAAAAGCUCGUCCUCACAGACACUGACAGGAUAUAUGCCUCGAAAUACAUUCUGCAGUCUGUACCUAACAGUUGUACUCACCGUGACAUGAACAUAUAAUGCGCUCCUAGAAUAUAAAACAGGUUCUUUUUGAAAAACCAUUCUGAAAUAAAUAAAUAAAUAAGUAUACCACCUCUUUGUUGAUGAUAAAAAAUUAUUAUACCUGAAAUAGCAUCUGAAUAUAGAUUUUUCCCUAUACUCCGGAUUCUAAAUCUUUGUUUAUUAAAUCACAAAGGUACAUUUUCACCAUGAUCUUUUACCUUUCAUGACAGGACCGUAAGCAAACUCUUCAACAAGUUGAUGAAUUCCUGAACACCAAGGUGGCCCCAAAAGAGCUUGCUGAUGAGAUAAAGGUACUUAAACCCAAUAUUUAAAACUUAGAUAGUCUUUUAUGUAUUGAAACGGUAAGCCAAAAUGGUGAUCUUCUUUUGAAUGAGAUGGCAUUGCUUAUUGACCACGACCGUUACAUCGUCCUCUUUUUUUUCCUUUGUUUGUGUAAAAAUUACAUUCAGCAAAUUGGAAAGGCUCUCCUACCAGCCGCUGUGACAAGCAAGGCUCUUCCUCCUCCAGUAGAAACAAGUUCAGCACCUAAUACUGCACCUGCCGUAGAUACCAAUGUACAAAAUGCAGAAGCUUCUGCUGCCGAUAGUACGGUACAAAAGGCAGAAGCUGCUGUGGAGCCAGCUCCCCAAAUAAAUUCAGUGAAAGCAGAAUCAGUUUCUGCAUUUCCAAGGCCACUUUCACCUUAUCCAUCUGUAAUUCUCCUUUUCAACAUUUCAUAUUUCAUCAACUUUUCUAAGUUUCUAUCAUUUUCCGUCUGUUUUAAGCACUGAAUGAAAAUGUGCCUUUUCUGCAAUGUAGUAUCCAGAUCUGAAGCCUCCAACAUCUCCUACUCCGUCGCAGCCCUAAAGUUAUAGUUGCAUUGAAGUCUUCAAGUGGGUUCCUACAACAGGCAACUGUUUUGCUGGGACUUUAUAGGGCUAUUUUGUGAGUUAUCCAGUCUGUGCUCCUGAUAUCUAAAUUUUUCUAUCUUAUGUGACCUUAAAAUAAGUCAUGAAACAGAUGAUUUGGGGUCUGCCAACCAAUAUGAUUGUGUUUCUUUUAGCUCUUUUGUAGCUUUGUGGAUCUUUUGUAGUCGUAGCUCAUCGUUAACACUCUUUACAUUACUUGUCUGUGUGCAAACCGUUUGUAAUUUUUACUGGGAUAAUGACAAAUGAAUUGGAUGAAAUGCUAAAUCCAAGAUUUCUUAUAAAUAAAAUAAUGCAUUUCGUCCUUUUUACUUAUUGAGUGAAGUAAUGUUUGAUCGGAUGGUGGCAAGAAAGUCGGGCAGCCGCACAAACUAAUCCAAUGGUAAAUCAAAAUUUUCCUAAUGAAAAUUGAACAGAACAGAUAAAUAAAAAUCAAUUUAGUUCAGUUUUAACUGAAUUUUGCAGUGAUUUUUUUAAUUAAUGAAAAUCAAGUCAAAUAUAACUAAAAAUAAAUUGUUUAGCUAAAUUGGUGAGGUUUGGUUUGUCUUUUUACUAAUGAGAAAAUUAAAAAUCUCUAGUUUAAACUUUUAUUAUAAGAUUUUCACCGGUCUGAUAAGUCAAGAGGAGCAUCACUAUGUUUUGUAUUAAAUUAUAUUAUUUCAGUCCAACGAAUCUCUCAAUUAUUAAUAAAAAAAAUGGCACGACAGACAUUUGUCAAAGUCGUUUUGGUGUAGUUUCAUUUCAUGGGCAACCAGCCACUAACGCCUAACGGGCAGCAAAUUCAAAAUGAGAUAGGGCGGCAAAGCAUUAUACAAAAGCCCAGACUAUUUUAUAAACAAAUAUUAUAAGGUUAUGAAAAAUAUAAUAGUUGAAAAAAAAAAUCCAAAAUAAAUAAUCUGGACUGAAUAACAGGAGCUAUCUUUUCAACUCCUCCGAUGGCCAGAGUCAAACAUAAGGCUCCUCCCCGGACCCGAAGUGGGAGAAAAUCGAGUCAGAUCUCUUUCUCCAUGUAUUUCUUUCCGGUAAUGGUUUUCGUUUUCCCUCUUUAAACCCUAACUUUCAUUUUUGUCGCAGCUGAAAGGGCGAAUGCGCCAACUCCAACCUCAACGCCAAACUCGGUACUUCUCUCUCUUUUUCUCGGAUAUUGCACUAAAUAAUUUGUUCGUUUACCUGUUUAGUUUCUGAGAAAAUGCUUGAAAACAGUUCAGAAAAACUGGAAUAACCUAAAUUCAUUUAGCUGUGAAUUAUACAAUAGAAAUGAAAAACUUUAAUCUAUGCUUUUCUUAGCUACUGAACUCAACUUCCCUUUGCUCUCUAUUCCAUGUGUCGGUCACUUCUGCUGUUAAUAAACGAGACGAAAUGAAAUAAAUUGUAAAAUUCUUUCAAAUUAAAAGAUUAUAUGGAUUUCACUUAGUUUAAUCGACAAUUUCCCUAAUUCUCGACGGAGCAAGAAAAUUCAGCUUCGAACACUAAACGUAGUCUUUGAUCUUUGCACGUUAUGUUAAACUAAAAUAGUUAUGUAGUGUCUUUAUCCUUUUGAAUUCUAUUUUUCUUUAAUUCGAAU